RNAcentral lists this long non-coding RNA (59864 nucleotides) under Triticum aestivum (bread wheat). Its description in RNAcentral is "long non-coding RNA (TAES_LNC016888)". The record is from RNAcentral. Lineage: Eukaryota; Viridiplantae; Streptophyta; Magnoliopsida; Poales; Poaceae.
AUCAAAACAUUUCUGGUUGUGGCGAUGACCUUUUUUCCCAUAUGAUCCUAGAAAAUGGAUCGGGUUCCACUAUCAAGGGAUAACGAAACAACAAAUGCACAAAAAACAUCCCAGUGCAAGAACAUAGCCUAAAACUGGUUUCAACUGCUAACAACAAAAGCUAAUGGAUCCAAAUCUACUGCAAGUUGACUUGGGGUUCACAAUCAUCCCAAGCAAAAUGUUUUCGAUCACUAGCAUCAUCAUUCAGAAAACUCCAUUGCAUCGUUCCUCGUCCAGUAUUUCUCCAUUAGUUCACCUUCACCCACUUCUUGCUCCUCAUUUUCUCCAGCAUUACUCGCCUCGAUCCUCAACACAAGAUUUCUUGGCUCCGUGCGCCCACCAACAUGAUGUGCCAAUGCUUCUCGCUUCAAAGCAACAACACCUUGUUCCAGAAUCGCACACUCUUCAUUAUUUUGUAGAUUUGCCCAAUAAAGGAUAAACAUGCAUGCAUAACAAACGAAUUCAGCAAGAGAUCUAGUAAUUUUUUUCUCAAAACAAUAUCUAUUACAUAACUUGGAUGGGAAUGUAGUGGCUUAUCGUGAAGGUGAUGCACUCAUGGACUUGUAGUAGAGCUGGUAGCUGCCACAACAGCUUCCCUAUAUGUGGGUGGCCUUGAGGCAGGCGUCGCAGAGGGGCAUCUCUCCUCCAUCUCCUAUUAGGUCACAUCUGUGGAGUCCCUCGGUGUCUACCAUGACGUUGCUAUCAGGUCCCAUGGCUAUGGCUACUUUCAAGUUCCACUCACAGAUUGAUGAUGAGAUCUGAUCUAUUAGAUCCCAAAAUACCUAAAGCAUUAUAUCUCUGUGAGCAUGCAUGCUAAAGGUAGCAGAUCAAACCCAAACAAACAAGUAAAAAAGACCAAGACACUCACCGUCCUCUUGGGGUGGAAAUUGAUGUAGUCAUAGCCACACGACCUGUAAGCAAAUUUGUGGCAGAUGCGCAAGGAAGCCACGGGAGCGACCUGGUCAUCGAUCUAGAAGAGUUGGCCCUCCGUAACACCUGUCUCUUGGUCAUCAUUGAGGCCAGGAAUGGCUGGUUUGUCAUUGCUACCGAUGGUCGCCAAACCAAUGGAUCUAGGAGGUGGCGACGUCAUCAGAGCCAGGGUGGAACGCUUGCCAUUGGUAGUCGUUGUUCACUAACCCGAGGAGUGAAGAUUACUAUACUAUGGGUAACCGGCUGGUCUAGUUGUAUCGACUAUAUAUUGAGUCCUCUCUUAUCGACAUCGAGUCCUCUUGUCCGCCGGAUGCUCUCUCCGGUAUGCUUUUGUAUAGGUGCUAAUUAAUGAAAUUUAUUUGCUACCUUUUAGAUAGGCUUCAGGUGUAAUUGUUAGAGACGCGUAUUUUUUGUGUAUCUGCAUGCUGGAGAGUUGCGGCAAUUGGGUCCACAUUCUAGUCUAUAUGCGUGUGAUGGGCUGCUGCAUGUAGGUAGAUAUGGACUACAAAGUUCUUCUAUCUAUUUAGUGCGAUAUCACUACUAAUUAAUGUUUGAGAUAGAGUAGAUAUCACUACAAAUUAAUGUUUGAGAUAGAUUAGAUCAACUUUUACCACAUCGUGGUCAAUGAUCGUUGACUCGUGAGGGGUCCCUCGCCGCCUUUCUUGGUCAAGGCAUCUCCAACACCGACCCUCAAGCCUCCUGCAUCCGCCCGGACAGUGAAAGCUAUCCAACGUGCUCCUGUAUCGGUACGAGGCGCGGUCCAGAUGUAUACUUUCUCCUGCAAAUGGGAGACAAACGUGGGGAGUGGGAGGGGGGCUUUGCGGGAGUCUGCACCGCUCCCACGCCCGCUUCUGACCACCCUGGCCCGCCCAAACCUCCUUCUGCAUCCCGCGCGCUUCCCGCCCGACGCCAACUGCCCACAUUCACGCCGCUGUAGAGCGCGGCGCCCCACAUAUUGAAGCGGCGCACCCCCCGAUGACGCCGGCCACUGCACGCCCGACUGAACACGUCUCCAUUAAACCCGUGUGAAAGCUGAGGAACCUACUCCAGCCACACGUUCGUUCACGAGCGGGCCGACAUUAAAUGCAACGCCGGGAAAGCUCCUCCCAUGUGCCCUCUAUUUAAACAAGGCCAGACGUCGGGCAAGAAACGCACCACUCCGCCGCUCCCCAUCUCAUCCUUCCACAAUUUUCUUCGCCCUUUUGAUGGCAUCCGGUGAGCACUAAGAGCAUUUCCCCCGCAUAAAAGCCAGCUAGGUGUCCCACCGAGCCCGCCGAAUACGAGUGAUGCCGCUCACUGCUCCACCUCCCUCGUCUGGCCCGACGGAGCAAGUUGCCACCCCAAACUGACGCAUGGUUCACCACCUCGCCGCUCCAAGCCAGCUCACAAGGGAGCGGCCAUUUGCUCUAGGACGACACGACGACAUAGGCAUCGUAGCACCCAUGGUGACGCUGCGUCAUACUGCGUCUCUGAUGCCUAGGACCGUGCCAUCCGCCAGCAACGCGUGUGUAGCCGUGCGCUGCUGGCAGAGAAAGAAGCUGGCAGCAUAGAGAUCGAUGAGUCGGUGGAUGGCACGUCCACGUCCGCCGCCAACAUCGAGGGAAAGUAGAACACGGAGUAUAGCUGAUGACCUGUCCGGUUCUUCUUUAUCUCAGACCAUCAUUGGCCCCGCCUAGGCUCCACGAAAGCGGAGCCCCCCCUUCCCUCCAGCUGAAGCACCCUCUUUGCCACCGCGAUGAGUGGCGCGACCAAACAUAGGGAAGAUACGAGGGAAGAAUAUACCUCUGGGGCUCCCGACAGUCCGGGUAGUGGGCUGCCGGACAUGGAGAAGACAAAGGGAUCCUUCGCGUCCAGCCGUAGACUAGUGUAGUGUUUCUGUGUCGUGGGAGUGGAGCUCCACGCGACUGUAUGUGCACAUAGUUUUAUCUUUUUUGUUAAAAAUAUGUCCAAAUUGUAACUGUUUUCGUCCAGUUUGAAUGAAAUCCAUCAUGUUUAUAUGAAAUCCACCCAUGUUUGCAUGAAUUUCAUCCGGUUUGCUGAAAAAAUGUUUGCAAUGUAUGCGGCUACGAUUGGAUAGCGGCCUCCCGCAUCCGUUUGCUGGCUGCUAUUGGAGAUGCCCUCAAGCCAGCGUUUGGGCGGGUGUAAGGUGUCCCAUCAUCGGUACAGACAAAGUAUUGUAGGAUUUCUGAUCAAUAGAACUGGAAAGUCUCCGGGUGUGGAAACAUCCUCAUAAUCUUUACUACUCCAUCAUGAUUUAUAUGCCUCGCACAUAUUUCAAUAUAAACAUUGAAAAUUAAUUUAUUCAACAAAAUAUUAGUUAUAUGUCACAAAAACAAAACGUUAGAUUCACAUUCUAAACAAGUUUCCAAUGGUAUAGUUUUUGUGACAUAUAACUCAUAUUUUAUUGAUAAAUCAACGUACAUUUUUUUAUUGAAAUGCUUAAGACUUAUGAAUCAUGUUAGAGGUUAGACUCCACGAAUGACGAAAUUUAUCCCCAAGGUAUCUCUGACAAAAUUGUUACUCUAAUGUCACUUAUCAACAUGUGAUCCAAGUCAUAGCAAUAUCCAACCAAUAAUCCAAUGAAUAACGUAAUCAUAUCAUUUCCACUUACUCCGUAAGCAAUAAUAUCAAAUAUGAUCAUAUGAAAAUAUAGCUAAUGACCCUACUAAUCCGAUGGUAACAUGCCAAUAUCCAACUUGUAAACUACUCUACUAGUCACAAGAAAUCCAAGCAAUAACACGGCAAGAGAUAAUUCUAAUAAUUCCUCCAAGAUUGCCAUGAAUAAAUCAUCAUCAAGUAAUUCAAAAUAAAUCGAGUUUUAUUAUAUUAACCAUGGAAUUUCAUUGCAAUUAUGCAAGUGGAGGUUGUGGCUUGCCUUGCUCCAAGCGAGUGUUGCGAGUACUCUUGGUCUUCAUCAAACAGUGCUAACACUCUGGAAAACAAUAUUAACAAGCAAAAUAAAUUCUCUAUCUAGAAAUUCUAGACAACAAAGAAAAGUGUGAAACUCUACCAGAAAAUAAAGGAGCUCACAAGAGAAAAAAAUGCAAAAAGAAUCAACUCAUUUGGACUUGUAGUUUAGGAGCAAUGGAUGGUGAAAGUUGUGGUCAAACUGGAUUAAAAUAGCGUUAAAAUGGAUUUUCUGGAAUCUCCAUGGGCCGACGUCGAAGACUUAAACAAGGAAUACACUUUGACUUAAAUAUUUGGAUAUAUCUUCAAACAUGAUAUUUAAGAAUAGGAGAUUAAAUUGAAGAAGCCAUUGUUAACAAUGACAAAAGCAACAUGUGGGCAUGGAUCAAAACAAGGGAUAUUUACUUUGACAGUCUAAAAUUUGUGAUGUAUCUUGAGUCCAAACUGUAACGACUCUCAUGUUUAACGACGAUUGAGGUGUUUGGAAGUAUUGUUUGAAUACAUCCUCAAACAUAAUAUUUUUUAAAAAUUAAGUGAACAAAACAAAAAAAAUAUUGUGUGGGUUGGGGUGAAGUGUGUGUGGGGGAGGGGGUGGGGGGUGGGGGGGAUUAUUAUCGGAUAGUAUAUUUCACCUAAUUUUGUAACGCAAGCAUCCUGGUCAAUAUGUCCUCAAGAUACAUUCACACCUUUCCCCUCCCGGGCCGCUCGCGCGGGCGGCUCCGGAAGAAAAAACCUAGAUCCAAGCGCCCCUCCUCCCGAAGACAUCCUGGCCGCCGCCGUCGCCGCCGGCGGCGGUGGCGGCGCCCGGCUGCCAAAGGCAGCGGGCAAGAUCUGCACGCCCUGACAUGGCUCCUUCGCGCGGGCGAGCACCGUCUUGUGGGCGUCGUGACCGCUGGCGGUUCUGGUGCGGUGGCGCGCGGCAGAGAGCACUGGAGGAGGAGGAGCACGGUCGCGAGGUGGAGAGGGGUGGCGGUCUUCCUCGGGCGCCGGCGUGUGUGUCGGAGGCCGCGGCGCGGGGUCCCUGGCGGCUGCAGAUCUUGGAAUGGAGUGGUGACCGGGCGCGGCGGCCGGGAGUUGCGGUGGUGUCCGGGGCGUGCGGUGUGCUUCCUGCCGGCGCUAGAGUGGCUCGGGGAAGGCAGCGCCUUGGAUUGCUAGUGGCAGGGAUGUAGCUGGCAUGUAGGCAUUGGGGUCAAUUGACCCCAAUGGAUUUACUAAAUCCUUCAUUAUCUUAGUACUAAUCACUGUUGAUUUAUAGAAGAUGACCCCAUUGCCAUGGAUAUGACCCCAUCAAGCUUUUUUCUAGCUUCGUCCCUGGCUGGUGGUGGCGCGGUCAGGAUCUGGCCAGAGCUCGGUUCAGGAAAUCGCAAAGGGAGCACCUUGGUGGUGCGUGCGUUCGCUGGAGGCGCAGUGCGCUGGCUCCUCCCGUCCGUGCCCCUGGUCGCAGCGGCUUGGCUGGCUGCCAGAGUGGUUUGGCCAGCCCACGCCUGUGGUGCCGGCGGGUCUUGGCAGCGCCAGGGAGGGUGGCUUGGAGCUGGUGACGUUUGUCUUUCGACCGUGCAGGAGCUGGAGGUUGGCCGGCGUGGUCUCGGCUGUGUGAUGGGUCGGUGUUCCGCGACGGUUUUGGCCAUGAUGGCAAGGCGCUGCUGCAACGACGGUGUAACCCUGACAGAUUAGCCCAAUCCUUGGAUAGGGGUGGGAGGUGUGCGACUGUUGGAUGAAAAUCCUGCUCGUGUCUUCGGCCGGAGCUGGCGGCGACGGUGCCUGAGGGAGUCGUUUCCCUCCUUGGAGGUGUCGCUGAGGUGUGUCGGCAUCUCCCCUUCUUGAUCGGGAUGUGGUCUCCAGGCGAAAGCCUUGGUCUAUUGUAGGACUGGCGAUGGCGACGGUAUAACGUCGUUACUCUAUUGAGAGCAUCGUAGGCGGAGACUUGGCUUGCUGAUUCUGUCUGGUGGUUCUCCGGUGCUUGCCGCUGGUUCGAGUCGAUCUUUGUGGGCGCUAUGUACGUAGCCGCCGGUGAACUGAAGACGAUGGCUUUCUCGGGACCGACCGAGUCCCGCUACCCACCCGCCGUCUCCUCUUAGGCAUUCAAAGGUGGUAGUGCGUGUUGGAAAUAUGCCCUAGAGGCAAUAAUAAAAGGGUUAUUAUUAUAUUUCCUUGUUCAUGAUAAUUGUCUUUUAUUCAUGCUAUAACUGUAUUAUCCGGAAAUCGUAAUACACAUGUGAAUACAUAGACCAUAACAUGUCCCUAGUGAGCCUCUAGUUGACUAGCUCGUUGGUCAACAGAUAGUCAUGGUUUCUGACUAUGGACAUUAGAUGUCAUUGACAACGGGAUCACAUCAUUAGGAGAAUGAUGUGAUGGACGAGACCCAAUCCUAAGCAUAGCACAAGAUCGUGUAGUUAGUUUUGCUAGAGCUUUUCCAAUGUCAAGUAUCUCUUCCUUAGACCAUGAGAUCGUGUAACUCCCGGAUACAGUAAGAGUGCUUUGGGUGUACCAAACGUCACAACGUAACUGGGUGACUAUAAAGGUGCACUACAGGUAUCUCCGAAAGUGUCUGUUGGGUUGACAUGGAUCGAGACUGGGAUUUGUCACUCCGUAUGACGGAGAGGUAUCUCUGGGCCCACUCGGUAAUGCAUCAUCACAAUGAGCUCAAAGUGACCAAGUGUUUGGUCACGGGAUCAUGCAUUACGAUACGAGUAAAGUGACUUGCCGGUAACGAGACUGAACGAGGUAUUGGGAUACCGACGAUCGAGUCUCGGGCAUGUAACGUACCGAAUGAGAAAGGGAAUUGUAUACGGGGUUGUUCUAAUCCUCGACAUCGUGGUUCAUCCGAUGAGAUCAUCGAGCAGCAUGUGGGAGCCAACAUGGGUAUCCAGAUCCCGCUGUUGGUUAUUGCCCGAGAGCCGUCUCGGUCAUGACUACGUGUCUCCCGAACCCGUAGGGUCUACACACUUAAGGUUCGGUGACGCUAGGGUUGUAUGAAUAUGAGUAUGCAGUAUACCGAAUGUUGUUUGGAGUCCCGUAUGAGAUCCCGGACGUCACGAGGAGUUUCGGAAUGGUCCGGAGGUAAAGAAUUAUAUAUAGGAAGUGGUAUUUCGGCCAUCGGGAAAGUUUCGGGGUCACCCGGUAUUGUACCGGGACCACCGGAAGGGUCCCGGGGGUCCACCGGGUGGGGCCACCCAUCCCGGAGGGCCCCAUGGGCUGAAGUGGGAGGGGAGCCAGCCCAUAGUGGGCUGGUGCGCCCCCCUAGGCCCACCCCCUGCGCCUAGGGUUGAAACCCUAGGGUGGGGGGCGCACCACAUGCCUUGGGGGGCACUCCUCCCCCCUUGGCCGCCGCCCCCUUGGGAGAUUGAAUCUCCCAGGGCCGGCGCCCCCCCUUGGGGGCCUAUAUAAAGGGAGGGGGGAGAGGGGCAGCCGCACCCUGAAGUCCUGGCGCCCCCUCCCCCUGCUACACCUCUUCCUCCUCCGUCACGUGCUUGGCGAAGCCCUGCCGGACUGCUGCUGUUCCACCACCACCACGCCGUUGUGCUGCUGCUGGAGCCAUCAUCAUCAACCUCUCCUCCCCCCUUGCUGGAUCAAGAAGGAGGAGACGUCACACGCACCGUACGUGUGUUGAACGCGGAGGUGCCGUCCGUUCGGCGCUAGGAUCUCCGGUGAUCUGAAUCACGGCGAGUACGACUCCAUCAUCACCGCUCCCUCUAACACUUCCGUAUGGGAUCUACAAGUGGUAUGUAGAUGCAAACUCACUCCCUUGACUCAUUGCUUAGAUGAACUCAUAGAUGGAUCUUGGUGAAACCGUAGGAAAAUUUUUAAUUUUCUGCAACGUUCCCCAACAGUGGCAUCAUGAGCUAGGUCUAUGCGUAGUUCUCUAUUGCACGAGUAGAACACAAUUUUGUUGUGGGCGUAGAUCUUGUCAACUUGCUUGCCGCUACUAGUCUUAUCUUGCUUUAGCGGUAUUGUGGGAUGAAGCGGCCCGGACCAACCUUACACGUACGCUUACGUGAGACCGGUUCCACCGACUAACAUGCACUAGUUGCAUAAGGUGGCUGGCGGGUGUCUGUCUCUCCCACUUUAGUUGGAGCGGAUUCGAUGAAAAGGGUCCUUAUGAAGGGUAAAUAGAAGUUGACAAAAUCACGUUGUGGUUAUUCGUAGGUAAGAAAACGUUCUUGCUAGAACCCAAUUGCAGCGACGUGAAAGAUGCAACAACAAUUAGAGGACGUCUAACUUGUUUUUGCAGCAAUUGUCAUGUGAUGUGAUAUGGCCAGAAGUUGUGAUGAAUGAUGAAUGAUAUAUUGUGAUGUAUGAGAUCAUGUUCUUGUAAUAGGAAUCACGACUUGCAUGUCGAUGAGUAUGAAAACCGGCAGGAGCCAUAGGAGUUGUCUUUAUUUUUGUAUGACCUGCGUGUCAUUGAAGAAUGCCAUGUAAACUACUUUACUUUAUUGCUAAACGCGUUAGUCAUAGAAGUAGAAGUAGUCGUUGGCGUGACAACUUCAUGAAGACAUGAUGAUGGAGAUCAUGAUGAUGGAGAUCAUGGUGUCAUGCCGGUGACAAGAUGAUCAUGGAGCCCCGAAGAUGAAGAUCAAAGGAGCUAUAUGAUAUUGGCCAUAUCAUGUCACUACUUUAUAUAAUUGCAUGUGAUGUUUAUUAUGUUUUAUGCAUCUUGUUUACUUAGAACGACGGUAGUAAAUAAGAUGAUCCCUUGCAACAAUUUCAAGAAGUGUUCUCCCCUAACUGUGCACCGUUGCUAAAGUUCGUCGUUUCGAAGCACCACGUGAUGAUCGGGUGUGAUAGAUCCUUACGUUCACAUACAACGGGUGUAAGACAGUUUUACACAUGCAAAACACUUAGGGUUAACUUGACGAGCCUAGCAUGUACAGACAUGGCCUCGGAACACGGAGACCGAAAGGUCGAACACGAGUCGUAUGGAAGAUACGAUCAACAUGAGAAUGUUCACUGACGAUGACUAGUCCGUCUCACGUGAUGAUCGGACACGGCCUAGUCAACUCGGAUCGUGUAACACUUAGAUGACUGAGGGGAUGUCAAAUCUGAGUGGGAGUUCAUUAAAUAAUUUGAUUGGAUGAACUUAAUUAUCAUGAACUUAGUCUAAAAUCUUUGCAAAAUAUGUCUUGUAGAUCAAAUGGCCAACGCUCAUGUCAACAUGAACUUCAACGCGUUCCUAGAGAAAACCAAGCUGAAAGAUGAUGGCAGCAACUAUACGGACUGGGUCCGGAACCUUAGGAUCAUCCUCAUAGCUGCCAAGAAAGCAUAUGUCCUUGAAGCACCAUUAGGUGACCCACCUACUCUCCCAGCACUGCAAGACGAUUUGAACGUUUGGCAGACACGUGCUGAUGAUUACUCCCUCGUUCAGUGCGGCAUGCUUUACAGCUUAGAACCGGGGCUCCAAAAGCUUUUUGAGCAACACGGGGCAUAUGAGAUGUUCGAGGAGCUGAAACUAGUUUUCCAAGCUCAUGCCCGGGUCGAGAGAUAUGAAGUCUCCAACAAGUUCUAUAGUUGUAAGAUGGAGGAAAACAGUUCUGUCAGUGAGCAUAUACUCAAAAUGUCUGGGUUGCACAGCCGCCUGUCCCAGCUGGACAUUAACCUCCUGGAUGAGGCGGUCAUUGACAGAAUCCUUCAGUCGCUCCCACCAAGCUACAAGAGCUUUGUGAUGAACUAUAAUAUGCAGGGGAUGGUGAAGACCAUUCCUGAAGUAUUUUCAAUGCUGAAGUCGGCAGAGGUUGAAAUCAAGAAAGAACAUCAAGUGUUGAUGGUUAAUAAGACCACUAAGUUCAAGAAGGGCAAGGGUAAGAAGAACUUCAAGAAGGACGGCAAAGAUGUUGCCGCGCCCGGUAAGCCAGUUGCCGGGAAGAAGUCAAAGAAUGGACCCAAGCCUGAGACUGAGUGCUUUUAUUGCAAGGGGAAGGGUCACUGGAAGCGGAACUGCCCCAAAUACUUAGCGGAUAAGAAGGCCGGCAACAGUAAAGGUAUAUUUGAUAUACAUGUAAUUGAUGUGUACCUUACCAAUACUCGUAGUAACUCCUGGGUAUUUGAUACCGGUGCCGUUGCUCAUAUUUGUAACUCAUAGCAGGAGCUGCGGAAUAAGCGGAGACUGGCGAAGGACGAGGUGACGAUGCGCGUCGGGAAUGGUUCCAAGGUCGAUGUGAUCGCCGUCGGCACACUACCUCUACAUUUACCUACGGGAUUAGUUAUAAACCUUAAUAAUUGUUAUUUGGUGCCAAGUUUGAGCAUGAACAUUGUAUCUGGAUCUCGUUUGAUACGAGAUGGAUACUCAUUUAAAUCCGAGAAUAAUGGUUGUUCUAUUUAUAUGAGAGAUAUGUUUUAUGGUCAUGCCCCUAUGGUCAAUGGUUUAUUCUUAAUGAAUCUCGAGCGUAAUGUUACACAUAUUCAUAGCGUGAAUACCAAAAGAUGUAAAGUUGAUAACGAUAGUCCCACAUACUUGUGGCACUGCCGCCUUGGUCACAUUGGUGUCAAGCGCAUGAAGAAGCUCCAUGCUGAUGGACUUUUGGAGUCUCUCGAUUAUGAAUCAUUUGACACAUGCGAACCAUGCCUCAUGGGCAAAAUGACCAAGACUCCGUUCCCCGGAACAAUGGAGCGAGCAACCAACUUGUUGGAAAUCAUACACACCGAUGUGUGCGGUCCAAUGAGUGUUGAGGCUCGCGGAGGAUAUCGUUAUGUUCUCACUCUCACUGAUGACUUGAGUAGAUAUGGGUAUGUCUACUUGAUGAAACACAAGUCUGAGACCUUUGAAAAGUUCAAGGAAUUUCAGAAUGAAGUAGAGAAUCAACGUGACCGAAAGAUAAAAUUCUUACGAUCGGAUCGUGGAGGAGAAUAUUUAAGUCACGAAUUUGGUACACACUUAAGAAAAUGUGGAAUCGUUUCACAACUCACGCCGCCUAGAACACCUCAGCGAAACGGUGUGUCCGAACGUCGUAAUCGCACUCUAUUGGAUAUGGUGCGGCCUAUGAUGUCUCUUACCGAUUUACCGCUAUCAUUUUGGGGAUACGCUCUAGAGACAGCUACAUUCACUUUAAAUAGGGCACCGUCUAAAUCCGUUGAGACGACACCGUAUGAAUUAUGGUUUGGGAAGAAACCUAAGUUGUCGUUUCUAAAAGUUCGGGGAUGCGAUGCUUAUGUCAAGAAACUUCAACCUGAAAAGCUCGAACCCAAGUCGGAAAAAUGUGUCUUCAUAGGAUACCCUAAAGAAACCAUUGGGUAUACCUUCUACUUAAGAUCCGAGGGCAAGAUCUUUGUUGCCAAGAACGGAUCCUUUCUGGAAAAAGAGUUUCUCUCGAAAGAACUAAGUGGGAGGAAAGUAGAACUCGAUGAAGUACUACCUCUUGAACAGGAUAGUAGUGCAGCUCAGGAAAAUGUUCCUGUGAUGCCUACACCAACUGAAGAGGAAAAUAAUGAUGAUGAUCAAGGUACUUCUGAUCAAGUUACUACUGAACUUCGUAGGUCCACAAGGACACGUUCCGCACCAGAGUGGUACGGCAACCCUGUCCUGGAAAUCAUGUUGUUAGACAACCGUGAACCUUCGAACUAUGAAGAAGCGAUAGCGGGCCCAGAUUCCAACAAAUGGCUUGAAGCCAUGAAAUCCGAGAUAGAAUCCAUGUAUGAAAACAAAGUAUGGACUUUGACUGACUUGCCCGAUGAUCGGCGAGCGAUAGAAAACAAAUGGAUCUUUAAGAAGAAGACGGACGCGGAUGGUAAUGUCACCAUCUAUAAAGCUCGACUUGUCGCUAAGGGUUAUCGGCAAGUUCAAGGGAUUGACUACGAUGAGACUUUCUCUCCCGUAGCGAAGCUUAAGUCCGCCCGAAUCAUGUUAGCAAUUGCCGCAUACUAUGAUUAUGAGAUAUGGCAAAUGGACGUCAAAACGACAUUCCUUAACGGUUAUCUUAAGGAAGAGCUAUAUAUGAUGCAGCCGGAAGGUUUUGUCGAUCCUAAGAACGCUAACAAAGUAUGCAAGCUCCAGCGAUCCAUUUAUGGGCUGGUGCAAGCAUCUCGGAGUUGGAACAUUCGCUUUGAUGAGAUCAUCAAAGCGUUUGGGUUUAUGCAGACUUAUGGAGAAGCCUGCGUUUACAAGAAAGUGAGUGGGAGCUCUGUAGCGUUUCUCAUAUUAUAUGUAGAUGACAUACUUUUGAUGGGAAAUGAUAUAGAUUCUUGGACAGCAUUAAGGCCUACUUGAAUAAGUGUUUUUCAAUGAAGGACCUUGGAGAAGCUGCUUACAUAUUAGGCAUCAAGAUCUAUAGGGAUAGAUCGAGACGCCUCAUAGGUCUUUCACAAAGCACAUACCUUGAUAAGAUUUUGAAUAAGUUCAAAAUGGAUCAGUCCAAGAAAGGGUUCUUGCCUGUAUUGCAAGGUGUGAGAUUGAGCUCGGCUUAAUGCCCGACCAUGGCAAAAGAUAAAGAAGAGAUGAUCGUCAUCCCCUAUGCCUCAGCCAUAGGAUCUAUUAUGUAUGCCAUGCUAUGUACCAGACCUGAUGUAAACCUUGCCGUAAGUUUGGUAGGAAGGUACCAAAGUAAUCCCGGCAAGGAACACUGGACAGCGGUCAAGAAUAUCCUGAAGUACCUGAAAAGGACAAAGGACAUGUUUCUCGUUUAUGGAGGUGAUGAAGAGCUCGUCGUAAAGGGUUACGUCGAUGCUAGCUUCGACACAGAUCUGGAUGACUCUAAGUCACAAACCGAAUACGUGUAUAUGUUGAAUGGUGGAGCAGUAAGCUGGUGCAGCUGCAAGCAGAGCGUCGUGGCGGGAUCUACAUGUGAAGCGGAGUACAUGGCAGCCUCGGAGGCAUCGCAUGAAGCUAUUUGGGUGAAGGAGUUCAUCACCGACCUAGGAGUCAUACCCAAUGCGUCGGGGCCGAUCAAACUCUUCUGUGACAACACUGGAGCUAUUGCCCUUGCCAAGGAGCCCAGGUUUCACAAGAAGACCAGGCACAUCAAGCAUCGUUUCAACUCCAUCUGAGAAAAUGUUCAAGAUGGAGACAUAGAUAUUUGCAAAGUACAUACGGAUCUGAAUGUCGUAGAUCCGUUGACUAAACCUCUCUCGCGAGCAAAACAUGAUCAACACCAGAACUCUAUGGGUGUUCGAUUCAUCACAAUGUAACUAGAUUAUUGACUCUAGUGCAAGUGGGAGACUGUUGGAAAUAUGCCCUAGAGGCAAUAAUAAAAGGGUUAUUAUUAUAUUUCCUUGUUCAUGAUAAUUGUCUUCUAUUCAUGCUAUAAAUGUAUUAUCCGGAAAUCGUAAUACACGUGUGAAUACAUAGACCAUAACAUGUCCCUAGUGAGCCUCUAGUUGACUAGCUCGUUGGUCGACAGAUAGUCAUGGUUUCUGACUAUAGACAUUAGUUGUCAUUGACAACGGGAUCACAUCAUUAGGAGAAUGAUGUGAUGGACGAGACCCAAUCCUAAGCAUAGCACAAGAUCGUGUAGUUCGUUUUGCUAGAGCUUUUCCAAUGUCAAGUAUCUCUUCCUUAGACCAUGAGAUCGUGUAACUCCCGGAUACCGUAAGAGUGCUUUGGGUGUACCAAACGUCACAACGUAACUGGGUGACUAUAAAGGUGCACUACAGGUAUCUCCAAAAGUGUCUGUUGAUGCUAGCUUCGACACAGAUCUGGAUGACUCUAAGUCACAAACCGAAUACGUGUAUAUGUUGAAUGGUGGAGCAGUAAGCUGGUGCAGCUGCAAGCAGAGCGUCGUGGCGGGAUCUACAUGUGAAGCGGAGUACAUGGCAGCCUCGGAGGCAUCGCAUGAAGCUAUUUGGGUGAAGGAGUUCAUCACCGACCUAGGAGUCAUACCCAAUGCGUCAGGGCCGAUCAAACUCUUCUGUGACAACACUGGAGCUAUUGCCCUUGCCAAGGAGCCCAGGUUUCACAAGAAGACCAGGCACAUCAAGCAUCGUUUCAACUCCAUCUGAGAAAAUGUUCAAGAUGGAGACAUAGAUAUUUGCAAAGUACAUACGGAUCUGAAUGUCGUAGAUCCGUUGACUAAACCUCUCUCGCGAGCAAAACAUGAUCAACACCAGAACUCUAUGGGUGUUCGAUUCAUCACAAUGUAACUAGAUUAUUGACUCUAGUGCAAGUGGGAGACUGUUGGAAAUAUGCCCUAGAGGCAAUAAUAAAAGGGUUAUUAUUAUAUUUCCUUGUUCAUGAUAAUUGUCUUCUAUUCAUGCUAUAACUGUAUUAUCCGGAAAUCGUAAUACACGUGUGAAUACAUAGACCAUAACAUGUCCCUAGUGAGCCUCUAGUUGACUAGCUCAUUGGUCGACAGAUAGUCAUGGUUUCUGACUAUAGACAUUAGUUGUCAUUGACAACGGGAUCACAUCAUUAGGAGAAUGAUGUGAUGGACGAGACCCAAUCCUAAGCAUAGCACAAGAUCGUGUAGUUCGUUUUGCUAGAGCUUUUCCAAUGUCAAGUAUCUCUUCCUUAGACCAUGAGAUCGUGUAACUCCCGGAUACCGUAAGAGUGCUUUGGGUGUACCAAACGUCACAACGUAACUGGGUGACUAUAAAGGUGCACUACAGGUAUCUCCGAAAGUGUCUGUUGGGUUGACACGGAUCGAGACUGGGAUUUGUCACUCUGUAUGACGGAGAGGUAUCUCUGGGCCCACUCGGUAAUGCAUCAUCACAAUGAGCUCAAAGUGACCAAGUGUUUGUUCACGGGAUCAUGCAUUACGGUACGAGUAAAGUGACUUGCCGGUAACGAGACUGAACGAGGUAUUGGGAUACCGACGAUCGAGUCUCGGGCAUGUAACGUACCGAAUGACAAAGGGAAUUGUAUACGGGGUUUUUCUAAUCCUUGACAUCGUGGUUCAUCCGAUGAGAUCAUCGAGGAGCAUGUGGGAGAAAACAUGGGUAUCCAGAUCCCGCUGUUGGUUAUUGCCCGAGAGCCGUCUCGGUCAUCACUUCGUGUCUCCCGAACCCGUAGGGUCUACACACUUAAGGUUCGGUGAUGCUAGGGUUGUAUGAAUAUGAGUAUGCAGUAUACCGAAUGUUGUUCGGAGUCCCAGAUGAGAUCCCGGAUGUCACGAGGAGUUUCGGAAUGGUCCGGAGGUAAAGAAUUAUAUAUAGGAAGUGGUAUUUCGGCCAUCGGAAAAGUUUCGGGGUCACCCGGUAUUGUACCGGGACCACCGGAAGGGUCCCGGGGGUCCACCGGGUGGGGCCACCCAUCCUGGAGGGCCCCAUGGGCUGAUGUGGGAGGGGAGCCAGCCCAUAGUGGGCUGGUGCGCCCCCCUAGGCCCAUCCCCUGCGCCUAGGGUUGAAACCCUAGGGUGGGGGGGGGCACCACAUGCCUUGGGGGGCACUCCUCCCCCCUUGGCCGCCGCCCCCUUGGGAGAUUGAAUCUCCCAGGGCCGGCGCCCCCCCUUGGGGGCCUAUAUAAAGGGAGGGGGAGAGGGGCAGCCGCACCCUGAAGUCCUGGCGCCCCCUCCCCCUGCUACACCUCUUCCUCCUCUGUCACGUGCUUGGCGAAGCCCUGCCGGAGUGCUGCUGUUCCACCACCACCACGCCGUUGUGCUGCUGCUGGAGCCAUCAUCAUCAACCUCUCCUCCCCCCUUGCUGGAUCAAGAAGGAGGAGACGUCACACGCACCGUACGUGUGUUGAACGCGAAGGUGCCGUCCGUUCGGCGCUAGGAUCUCCGGUGAUCUGAAUCACGGCGAGUACGACUCCAUCAUCACCGCUCCCUCUAACGCGUCCGUACGCGAUCUACAAGUGGUAUGUAGAUGCAAACUCACUCUCUUGACUCGUUGCUUAGAUGAACUCAUAGAUGGAUCUUGGUGAAACCGUAGGAAAAAUUUUAAUUUUCUGCAACGUUCCCCAACAGUGCGUUGGCAAGGAAAAUCCGGUUGGAGUUGUUGCUUUUCGAGGUGACCGGUGUUUGUGGUGACGUGACUAGAUGAUUGGUUUAGGGCAGACCCUUUUGCUUGUGUUUGUAACUGUCGUGGUGGCUAAUCUGUUGAUUAGCUUCGGUGUGGAGUUGUGCUACACUUGUUGUUCGCAGCAAGAUGUAGUUUCUUGUACUUGAUUUCUGCCUUCUAUAAAAAUAUGGUACGCCUAGGCGUACUCUCGAAAAAAAAUAUGUCCUCAAGAUUAGAUCAAGUUACAUAAUCAUGUUGAAGUUAAAUCAUCUUGUUGAAUUAAAAAAUGAUAAUAUUUUUUGAUGUAUGUUGAAUCAAACCUCACUCAAAACGGUGGAGAACAGUUGAAUUGUUGAGAUAUGUGAAUAAUUAUUCCAACUAUAUUUGAAAAUCCAGCAAAUAAUAUGGAGCACUGGUAGAAAAAGAGGCUUCCGUCUAGCCCCAUUAGUCGCGAAACUGUAGGAACCGCGACUAAUGAAGUCUUUAGUCGCGGUUCGGCAGACGAACCGCGACCAAAGUCUUGGGCCAGGGCGCUCGGUGGCCAGCUGGUGCACGUGAGGGGCUUUAGUCGCGGUUGGGCAGGCCAACCGCGACUAAAGGUGCCCAAAGGCCUUUAGUCGCGGUUGGCCUGGCCAACCGCGACUAAAGCUCCUCCCCUAUAUAUACCAGUUCAGCGCACUCACUUAGCCAUUUGGUGCCACUUCUCUUCACAAGGGGGUGUAGGUUUGCUUUUGGUUCCUCUUAUGCACACAAGGUGUUUGAUGAAAUGCCCAACAGCGUGAAACAAACAUGAUAUGAAGUGUUGGAGCCACACUUGAGGUUCCUCCUCGAUCGCGGUUAGCAACUUGAACCUUUCAUGCAUGUGUGUCAUUGAUAAAAUAUGCAUGUGUGUUGUUCAUUGUUUAAUUUCUAUUGUUUAUAGCUAGUUACUUUAACAAAUGCAUGAUGGUUAAUUAUAUAUUUUAUAUUAUAAUAAUGCAGAUGAAUCGGCAAUGGAUGUACGGUAACCGACUCUCCCGCGAGUUCACUACGGGUUUGAAAGAUUUCCUCGUAGUGGCUAAUGCGAACAAGCAGAAGGGUUUUGUUAUCUGUCCUUGUGUUGACUGUAAGAAUCAGAAGGGUUACUCUUCCUCAAGAGAAGUUCACCUGCACCUGCUUCGGCACGGUUUCAUGCCAAGCUAUAAUUGUUGGACCAAGCAUGGAGAAAGAGGGGUUAUAAUGGAAGAAGAUGAAGAAGGGGAUGAUUUCAUCGAUGAAAGCUAUCUUGCUCAUUUCGGUGAUACUUUCAUGGAGGAUGCUGAAGGUGAAGGGGAAGGUGAAGGGGCAGGUGAAGGGGAAGGUGAAGGGGAAGGUGAAGGUGAAGGUGAAGAAGAGGCACGUGAUGAGACCGUUGAUGAUCUUGGUCGGACCAUUGCUGAUGCACGGAGACGCUGCGAAACUGAAAAGGAGAGGGAGAAUUUGGAUCGCAUGUUAGAGGAUCACAGAAAGUCGUUGUACCCUGGAUGCGAUGAUGGUCUGAAAAAGCUGGGCUGCACACUGGAUUUGCUGAAAUGGAAGGCACAGGCAGGUGUAGCUGACUCGGCAUUUGAAAACUUGCUGAAAAUGUUGAAGAAUAUGUUUCCAAAGAAUAACGAGUUGCCCGCCAGUAUGUACGAAGCAAAGAAGGUUGUCUGCCCUCUAGGUUUAGAGGUUUUGAAGAUACAUGCAUGCAUCAACGACUGCAUCCUCUACCCGCGGUGAAUACGAGAAUUUGAAUGAAUGCCCGGUAUGCACUGCAUUGCGUUAUAAGAUCAGAGGCGAUGACCCUGGUGACGAUGUUGAGGGCGGGAAACCCAGGAAGAGGGUUCCCGCCAAGGUGAUGUGGUAUACUCCUAUAAUACCACGGUUGAAACGUCUGUUCAGGAACAAAGAGCAUGCCAAGUUGUUGCGAUGGCACAAAGAGGACCGUAAGUCGGACGGGGAGUUGAGACACACCGCAGAUGGAACGCAAUGGAGAAAGAUCGACAGAGAGUUCAAAGAUUUUGCAGCUGACGCAAGGAACAUAAGAUUUGGUCUAAGUACAGAUGGCAUGAAUCCUUUUGGCGAGCAGAGCUCCAGCCAUAGCACCUGGCCCGUGACUCUAUGCAUCUACAACCUUCCUCCUUGGUUGUGCAUGAAGCAGAAGUUCAUUAUGAUGCCAGUGCUCAUCCAAGGUCCGAAGCAACCCGGCAACGACAUCGAUGUGUACCUAAGGCCAUUAGUUGAUGAACUUUUACAGCUGUGUGGCAGACCUGGUGUUCGUGUGUGGGAUGAGCACAAAAAAGAGGAAUUUAACCUACGAGCGUUGCUUUUCGUAACCAUCAAUGAUUGGCCUGCUCUUAGUAACCUUUCGGGACUGUCAAAUAAGGGAUACAAUGCAUGCACGCACUGCUUACAUGAGACUGAAAGUGUACAUUUGCCAAAUUGUAAGAAGAACGUGUACCUUGGGCAUCGUCGAUUUCUUCCGAAAAUUCAUCCAGUAAGAAAGAAAGGCAAGCAUUACAACGGCAAGGCAGAUCACCGGCCGAAGCCUGCGGAACGCACUGGUGCUGAGGUAUUUGAUAUGGUCAAGGAUUUGAAAGUCAUCUUUGGAAAGGGUCCUGGCGGACAAUCAGUUCCGAAGGGAGCUGACGGGCACGCAGCCAUGUGGAAGAAGAAAUCUAUAUUCUGGGAGCUAGAAUAUUGGAAAGUCCUAGAAGUCUGCUCUGCAAUCGACGUGAUGCACGUUACGAAGAAUAUUUGCGUGAACCUCCUAAGCUUCUUGGGCGUGUAUGGGAAGACAAAUGAUACAAAGGAAGCACGGCAGGACCAGCAAUGUUUGAAAGACCCUGAUGACCAGCAUCCGGAAUGGUUUCAAGGUCGUGCCAGCUACGCUCUGACCAAAGAAGAGAAGGUCAUCUUUUUUGAAUGCCUGAGCAGUAUGAAGGUCCCGUCUGGAUUCUCGUCCAAUAUAAAGGGAAUAAUAAACAUGGCGGAGAAAAGUUCCAAAACCUGAAGUCUCACGACUGCCACGUGAUUAUGACGCAAUUGCUUCCGAUUGCUUUGAGGGGGCUCCUGCCGGAAAAUGUUCGAGUAGACAUUGUGAAGCUAUGUGCAUUCCUCAAUGCAAUCUCUCAGAAGGUAAUCAAUCCAGAAGAUCUACCACGGUUACAGAACGAUGUGAUCCAAUGUCUUGUCAGUUUCGAGUUGGUGUUCCCGCCAUCCUUCUUCAAUAUUAUGACGCACCUCUUGGUUCACCUAGUCGAAGAGAUUUUCAUUCUCGGUCCUGUAUUUCUACACAAUAUGUUCCCAUUCGAGAGGUUCAUGGGAGUAUUAAAGAAAUAUGUUCGUAACCGUGCUAGGCCAGAAGGAAGCAUCGCCAAGGGCUAUGGAAAUGAGGAGGUAAUUGAGUUUUGUGUUGACUUUGUUCCUGACCUUAAGCCGAUUGGUCUUCCUCGAUCGCGGCACGAGGGGAGACUAAGUGGAAAAGGCACGAUCGGAAGGAAAUCAACGACAUGUAUGGACGGCCAUUCUCUGACUGAAGCACACCACACUGUACUGACCAAUUCCAGCUUGGUGGCUCCGUACUUUGAGAAACACAAGAAUAUUUUACGCUCGGACAACCCGGGGAAGCCUGAAUCCUGGAUUAGGAAGGCCCACAUGGAGACUUUCGGCAGUUGGUUGAGAAAACAUUUAAUGAAUGACAAUGAUGUUGUAGAUCAGCUGUACAUGUUGGCCAAGACACCAUCUUCGACUAUAACGACUUUCCAAGGGUACGAGAUAAAUGGGAAUACAUUUUACACGAUCGCCNNNNNNNNNNNNNNNNNNNNNNNNNNNNNNNNNNNNNNNNNNNNNNNNNNNNNNNNNNNNNNNNNNNNNNNNNNNNNNNNNNNNNNNNNNNNNNNNNNNNNNNNNNNNNNNNNNNNNNNNNNNNNNNNNNNNNNNNNNNNNNNNNNNNNNNNNNNNNNNNNNNNNNNNNNNNNNNNNNNNNNNNNNNNNNNNNNNNNNNNNNNNNNNNNNNNNNNNNNNNNNNNNNNNNNNNNNNNNNNNNNNNNNNNNNNNNNNNNNNNNNNNNNNNNNNNNNNNNNNNNNNNNNNNNNNNNNNNNNNNNNNNNNNNNNNNNNNNNNNNNNNNNNNNNNNNNNNNNNNNNNNNNNNNNNNNNNNNNNNNNNNNNNNNNNNNNNNNNNNNNNNNNNNNNNNNNNNNNNNNNNNNNNNNNNNNNNNNNNNNNNNNNNNNNNNNNNNNNNNNNNNNNNNNNNNNNNNNNNNNNNNNNNNNNNNNNNNNNNNNNNNNNNNNNNNNNNNNNNNNNNNNNNNNNNNNNNNNNNNNNNNNNNNNNNNNNNNNNNNNNNNNNNNNNNNNNNNNNNNNNNNNNNNNNNNNNNNNNNNNNNNNNNNNNNNNNNNNNNNNNNNNNNNNNNNNNNNNNNNNNNNNNNNNNNNNNNNNNNNNNNNNNNNNNNNNNNNNNNNNNNNNNNNNNNNNNNNNNNNNNNNNNNNNNNNNNNNNNNNNNNNNNNNNNNNNNNNNNNNNNNNNNNNNNNNNNNNNNNNNNNNNNNNNNNNNNNNNNNNNNNNNNNNNNNNNNNNNNNNNNNNNNNNNNNNNNNNNNNNNNNNNNNNNNNNNNNNNNNNNNNNNNNNNNNNNNNNNNNNNNNNNNNNNNNNNNNNNNNNNNNNNNNNNNNNNNNNNNNNNNNNNNNNNNNNNNNNNNNNNNNNNNNNNNNNNNNNNNNNNNNNNNNNNNNNNNNNNNNNNNNNNNNNNNNNNNNNNNNNNNNNNNNNNNNNNNNNNNNNNNNNNNNNNNNNNNNNNNNNNNNNNNNNNNNNNNNNNNNNNNNNNNNNNNNNNNNNNNNNNNNNNNNNNNNNNNNNNNNNNNNNNNNNNNNNNNNNNNNNNNNNNNNNNNNNNNNNNNNNNNNNNNNNNNNNNNNNNNNNNNNNNNNNNNNNNNNNNNNNNNNNNNNNNNNNNNNNNNNNNNNNNNNNNNNNNNNNNNNNNNNNNNNNNNNNNNNNNNNNNNNNNNNNNNNNNNNAAAUAACUUAAAACUUGAUAAUUAACAAAAAAACCGUAAAAUUUGAUAAUUAACAAAAAAAACGUAUAUACGGAGAGGGGGCGGCGAGGGGGGCGGCGAUGCGCGCGGUGUUUUUUUAGGGAUCGAGAGGGGACGGCGAGGGUUAUAAAUGUGUUGUCCUCGCCUCCCUCUCCGUGACGCCGUCGUCUGCCUCCCCGUCUCGCGCUCUACCGCGACACCCUCUCCCACCCCUUCCUCGCCCCCUCCUUUUGCCACUGCCCUUUCGCCACCGCCACCGCCACCGCCCCCCUUCUUCACUUAAUUAAUUUGUUUUUACUACAUGUUUUCAGGACUGACAUAAUGGCGGACGAUAGAGCUGACCCGAUUAUGGACAACUAUGAUCCGGACGGUGAAGCACAUAUGUUCGGCAUCAUAAACGGCGAUAUUCUAUAUGUGCCGACCGGACAAGAAGAAGAUGAUAUCUCUUCUUAUCUGAACCUUGACGGUGAAGAUGAAGGGCGCCGUCAGCAAGAUGAUGCCGAACAAACGUCGAUAAACGACGAUCUUCAAAUGGAAGUAGCAACCACCUCCGGCGCCGAGGUAUAUAUAUAUACAUUGAGCCUCUGGUGAUACAAACUAACUGAUUUGAAUAAAUAUGUUUGGACUAACGCGCGCGACUCUCUUUCUUAUUUUAGCCCUCGGCCGGAUCGUCGAAACAAUCGAGUACGUCGUCAAAGCGUGGCGCAACCAAGACGAUGAAACAAGGAGAAACAUGCACCAUCGAGGUUGUCGACAGUGCAACCGGCAGGCCGCUGGAGCCCCGCAAGAACGCCACCAAGUUUGUCAACCAAUGCGGAGCCAUUGUUAGAGACAACGUCUCGAUCACCGUCCAGGAGUGGAAUAAGCCAAAGAAGGCACGAAUUGCUGGUUUCACUUUCGUCGAUAAGAGAACAAAAAGAGAUUGCUUCAAAAAGCUUAUGGAACAUUUCGUUCUACCUCCGGAAUACAACAAAUUCGAUGAGGAGGGUAACAAGAUUGAGGAAAACAAGGAGAGGAGGAGGCUAGUCAAACAGUUCGCUCUUCAUAAGAUGGCCGACGCAUUCCGGAAAUUCAAGCAAAAUCUAGCCCAUGACUUUGUCAAGCAGAACAAGACUCCGGAUUUCAAAGGACAAUAUGAGAAACUGAAACAUGAUUGCCCAGAAUUUGUGAAGCAAAAGAAAUCGGAGCAGUUCAUUCAAAUAUCGAAAAAAAUAAGGAAAAUGCGGCUAAGAAGGAGUACAAUCAUAUUAUGGGGCCAGGAGGGUAUCGCCUUUGGGAGCCUAGGUGGGAGAAGAUGGAGAACGAGCUGAGAGCGCGAGGAAUCCGUCCAGGUACGGAGGGAUGGGACCCAAGGGCCAAAAGCUGGUGGUACGGGCAUGGGGGAACGCUGAACCCGGAGACAGGGGACUGUGUUUACCGGGGCAAAAUAAUUAAACCCACCCAAGCCCUUAUUGACGCAAUGAGGGAUGCUCAAGAGGGGAAGAUCAAGUUCAACAGAGAGAACGACGCACUGACAAAAGCCCUCGGGAAUCCUGAACACGGAGGACGUGUACGAGGCAUGGGGCACAUUCCGUGGAAAAUAGGGUUCCCCCAGAAUGAUGACCCGUACGGUUACAGAAGCCGGAAGAGAAAGAUGGAUCGGGAAGCAGAUGUUGUGGCGCGGUUGGCAUCGGAAAUGGAUGUGAUGAAGAAAACCGUGAGUGUACUAGUAGCCGAACGAGAUGCAGCUCGGGCGCAGCAUGAAGAUCAUCCAGCGGAUCUCAGAAGCCAGCAGCGGAGAAGCAGUGUGGCUUCCACGGAGGCCCCACCGGCUGGUGCAGAUGCACCGACGAUCGAAAUUACUGCACCUGAGCCUCUGGUGGUCGAAAUUACUGCACCGGAGCCUCUGGUGGUCGAAAUUACUGCACCGGAGCCUCCUCGCUACCCCGUGGAUGAUAUAAAGGAGAUGAAAGAAUGUCAUCUGUAUUAUCCUAUCGGGAACAUGUCCGUGAAGGUAGCCAUCGGCAGUGCUUUACCAUGUUUACCUGGAGCACUCCACCACAACACCCCCAUUCAAGAUGGCUAUGCUCGUGUCACGGUGGAGGACAUAGUCCAAGGGUUUGAGGACCUGGAGAUUGACAUUGCUACACCUGAAGGGGAGAAAAGACUUGGAGAUGUCAAGCGCCAUUUCAUUCUAUGGCAAAAGAAGUUUAUCAAGUUUCCAGGCGAGGCGCCAAGGACAACAAGUCCACCCCCCUACGGUGGUGGCGGUUCACCUACACCUCCGUCACGUCAGCCGACGCCCCCCAGUCCACAACGUCCGGCGGGUGAUCAGACGCCGCCCCCCAGUCCUCGUCCGGCGGGUGAUCAGACGCCGCCCCCCAAUCCACCUCCGGCAAAGAAGCAGAAGCAGUCCUGGAUUAUUUACCCGGACCCUUAUGUACCUAAGACCACAAAGGUACCGGAGCCAUCAUUGAAGCCUCUCCCCACAAGGCCUUGGGAACGUAGUGCCGAGGAAACUGCCGCGGCCGCGGCUGCUGAUCAUGAGAAAUGGAAGGCGGACUGCAAGAAGAAAAGAGAGCCCGAGCCCAAGCCAGUAUUUUCUGAUGAGCAAAAGAAGUGGGCUAAGUCAUUUUUGAGCACACCGUCCCAAGCCGCGAAGAAUCUGCCUGACGACUAUGCACGUGAACUUCGUAGGCAGGCACUCAUGUUGAAGGAGAAGAAAGAGCGGGCGGAGAACCAGGAGAACAAAGCCUUGGAGGAGGCCGAGAAAACGGAAUUAGAAAGUAAAAAAAGCGGGAAACGAGUUGCCCAGCUCGGGGAACAAAGUAAACAAUCGAUUGCCCCGCUUAUAGUGAAAGCCGCCGGUCCGGAUGACCCCGAUAUCAUAGCAGCUGCGGCAGCACAUGGAUUGACUGUAACGAGUGCCAGAGAACAAGCGGCCAACUUAGGUAUUACUCUUCGUGAACUGUUAGGCCUUGAUGAGGCACCAGUGAAGGAGGUAGUAAUUACAUAUGUGAAAAAUGGGCCUCUCGUCGAGCCUGCGCAGGAACAGGAUCUACCUCCACAAAUGAAAGGUCUGCUGAAAUGGUACAAGGGUUACAUAAAAAAUAAAAACGCCAAAGAAUAUAUUUAUGCGGAAGUUAGAUAUGAGCAUCACUUCAAACAUUACUAUGUACAAAUUCAUCUGAGUGAAUUGUUCCAGCUUUUCAAUCUGCGCGAGCUCGACAAAUCUAUCAUCAGUUGCUACGUUCUGUAAGUGAUUUAUUUCUACCCCAUCUCGUUCAUAUUGCCUGCACUAUAUAUAUGUCCUAACUAUAUUGUUGUGUCCGCUAUUAUACAUGCAGAAUGAAGAUUAAGGAAUGCAGAGUAAGGAACAUCCAUAAUGUUGGGUUCAUUGACCCACACAUCGUUAAUGGAUAUGUGUUGGAGCAUCACCCCGCCGACAUGGAGGCAGACCUGUGGCAGUUUCUUACAAAGCAGGAACUCAAAAGUGAUAUUCUAUUUCCUUACCAUUUUGGGUGAGUGUUUCUGUCUUGAGCACAUUCUCUUUUGUUUACUCCAUGCAUGGUAUGUGGCCGGCUAAUCGAUGAGUUAUGCAUGACGUACUGUGCAUGUAUCGUGUCCGCAGGUUCCACUGGAUUCUGCUAGUAAUUAAAGUUGACACCUCAGAAUGUCUCGUCCACGACUCUCUGAAUAAGGAUCCAAAGCUUUGGGUCGACAUGAGAAGAAUGCUGCAGAAAUAAUUAUUUUCAUUCAUUUGCGCUCUAUAUCGAUCGGCCUAUUUCGUUCAUUUCCUAAUAUCAAGUAACUAAUAACUCUCUUGUUCAUUUAAUUUUCUUUGCCUCGUAGGGUUUGGAGACGGUUCGUAGAUACAAAGGUCGGUGAAUUCAAAAAAGAGCUAGAAUUCAAAAGGGCAAAGGCUAAGAAUGGUGAGGAUAUUCAGCCAGCGGGGACCAAUCUAUGUGCAUACUAUGUCUGUGAGAUGAUCCGGAGAUACACCUCUGAGCGGGUUCCGAGUGAUACCAAUGCUCAGAGGAAUAACCUCCGGAUGAUGCUUAGUCCAGAAGCUCGCUUCCGACCACUUCAAGAGGAACUUGCUGGAUGGUUCAGGAGGGAAGUCCUCCAUCCUAAAGGAGAACACCAUUACGAGGACGUAGAACUUUAUAUGCAUUAAAUUAUGUAUGGAAACUUGUUCAAAAUUGUAUAUGGUCAUCCGAUGAUAUUGAAUAUAUAUUGUAUAUUCCUCUUGAAUUCUUUUUGGUUCUAAUUUCAAAUUUGUUUGAAAUUGUACAUUCAUAUGCAUGUAUGUAGUACCGUAGAAUAUGUGAAACUCCUUCAAAAUUAAAAUAAAGCACAAAAGAAAUAAAACAAUACAUAUUAAACAGAAAACAGGUUUAAGGGGGGAGGGGGGGCUAAAACCCUAAACCUGCGGCGGCCUUUAGUCGCGGUUGGCCAGAAGAACCACGACUAAAGGUCCUCCGCCCCGACGGCCACCUGGCGCCCACGUGGACGGGCCUUUAGUCGCGGUUCUUAAGCAACCGCGACUAAAGGGUGGGGCCUUUAGUCGCGCCCGUUCGGUCGCGGUUGCGCAACCGCGACUAAUGGCAGUUGCGAACCGCGACCAAAGGCCCUUUUCCCACCAGUGGAGUGAAAAUAAGAAAAAAACAAAUGGGAAAAACCAAAUGUGGCCAUGGAAAAAAAAACUGGCGCUCUAACAAAUGACGAGAUAAGGGAGGCAGAAGAAAAACCAAAUGUGGAUCGAACACGCGACCUUCAGAUCUUCAGUCUGACGCUCUCCCAAGUGAACUAUCCCCGCUUGAUGUUAUUUCAGUUAGUUCCAAUUCUCUUUUUUUGAUUUCUGACUCACUUCAUAUUUGACUCUACACUAACGCUCUUCAAACUAACAUAAGGCCUCAGAAUCUCCACGUAGCAGCGAUCAGUAAAUGUAUUAUAUUACGCAUCUCGUACAACCGUAGCAUAGACUUCUCAACAUAUUUUUAUACGUACUUGAUGAUGUUCUUUCUUUACAUGGAAGAAGGAAAUCCAUGAUCUAUGGAACAAUCCAUGAUCUAUGGAUCACCAGCGGCAGUGCCGCGCAGCACGGAUGGAGAUGGAGGUCCAAGCUCUUAUUGGCGGCGCAGUGGUAGUACAGUGUGAGCACCAUCCCGCCACAGCUGCCGCAUGUCUUGCCACUGCAGCGCGGGUGCUCGUGGCAGAGCUGGAACUCCUUGCCCUUGAACAAUGGGUGCACCAGCAUGCCCUCUGCGAGGGCACAGUCAUUGUGGAGGUCGGAGUCACAGGGUUGGCACGUGUACAUGUCCCCGGCGCCUAGAUCCAUGCAGACGUUGCACUGGAACUCCGCGGCGCCGGUGGCCAUCAGCGCUCCCGGCGGGCGGGGUGGGACGUGGGAGAUUUCCGCAGGAUGUGGCAAGGUUGUCAAAAAACGGUAUUUUCCUUUUUCGGAGGCGGACGUUUUAAAUUGGAUGUAUAUACUACUGGAAUUAUGAUGUACACCGGGUGUCAUGUUCUUCGCCGAGUACCAAAACACGGACACUCGACAAAGAAAAUAACAACGAGAGUCACUUUUGGCAAACCUAGCUUUACGACAAACUGCCUUCUUUGCCGUCACUGCCUCGCGGCAAAGAGGCACCGCACGGCAAACCCUACAGACGUCGAGAGCUGCUCACGACAAAGAGGAGCCACGUGACAUGCCCGUCCGAAACACGACUCCGUCGGUUACUGUGUAUAUCACCGAGAGCGACACUCGGCAAACUAUAUGCCACAUCCUAUUUUCUUUUUUGAGUGUGUUCUUUCUAACUGACAUGUGAUCCCACUGGUCACAUUUAUCAAUAAAAGUUUCAAAUAAUUUGCUAAAUAUUUUUGAACAAAAAUGACGAUAUCUUUCCCGAGAGCUGCUCUCAGCAAUUCUCCUGACCAGUAAGAUAGCGUGGCCACAUGGCAGCUGACAGUUUACAUAUCUUUGUCGAGAGUUGGUCUCGGCAAUGCUCGCCAUCUUUUUCGAGAGCUGCUCUCGGAAAAGGUAUGGCACAACAGUAGUGUCUCCCAGACGACCAAUUUUCUGAGAGGAGCUCUCGGUAGUAUAUCGUUUUCCGAGUGUAGCUCUUGGAAAUCUUUCCCAUCCAUUCUACUGUUAAGCUAUUUCUUUUCUGAUCCCUGCAGAUGAAAACAACUACAGUGCAAUUUGGAGUAGUCCACACAUAUAUAGGCAUAAUUUGAUCUACUCCAUAUAUAUAUACAUACAUAUAUAUAUAUAUAAUUAGGGAUAGUCCACAUAUUAUCACACACAAAUCGAAUGUAGUAUCCUAGUAGAUGUCACACACAAGUCGUAAAUUUAUAUAUAUUGUCACUACUUGCAAAACAUGUGCACGUUACAAUAGAAGUACACUUAUUCAUAUAUAGAUCAGCUUGAGGAGGAGAGGCCAUCGGGUUAACAUUCCAGAGGAGGAGGGGCAUCACUUGCACUGCUUCGAGAUUGCAUAAGAACCUAUAAGAGUAGAGUCACGUGAGGAUGGUUCGUCCCUAUGUAAUGAAUCUUCUACUCUAGUUUAGAUAAUGUUCUACCUGUAGUUGAUUCUCAAGUAGCUUCAACCUAUUGUUAGUGUCUUCUCGUUCCUUUUCUUUGGACUCCUCAGCCUUCCGCCUUUGCUCCUCUUCAACAGCCUGCUGCUUCAUUAAAUUCUGUAACAUGGCAUUAGGCUCAUAUAGGUUGGACCGGUGCUAUUUCGAGGCAUGGACAUAAAUGAAAGGUUAGAAUGCUAACCUUGAGACUUGUGGUGCAUCUAUCUCGCAGCGCCGUGAAUGAUGUGAUCUUCAGUGACGUGGAGGUUUCAGGAGGUAUUGCUGUCUACACCUACAAAGAAGAGAAUGUUGACAGAUUUUGCCGUGUAACCGUGCCACUGUUCAACUCUGAAUAUAGUAUGUUGUCUGAACAAGUUAGCAGGAGCAUAGUCUGCACCAGAGGAUUUGGCAAAUAACUUCAGAAUUUUUAAUUGAACAUGGAUAUAUUAUUCUUGGAAGGAAAGUCUACACCAGUAGAUAUUGUGAUCUUCAAGGAUAACCCAACAUUUUAGGUGCUCUACAAGGAAUGGAUAUGAGAACGUUGCAGCGUCACAAUAGUCAAGAACCUCCACAGAAGGGUUCCAAUACUCAAGGUUUAUUUCUAGUGCUUCUUUUUUCCAGUGUAAAGAAGGGAGUAACCACAGUUUCCCCAAUUGUUGAAUCACAGAUGUAUCACCACAUAAACAGAGCAUAUGACAAGUUCAAAAUUCGAGUGCAAAACAUAUGUUCUUGUGCAACACAAAACGUCCGAAGUUUAAGCGCACAAACAUCGGCAACUCGAUUGCAACUACUUUCACUGAAUAAUGUAUCUCUCAUAACAGUAAAAAAACUAUUUCCUAGCCCAAAAAGAUGUUUUCUCGGAUCACAAUCGAUACCCCUACUUUAUGGCUGAAAACCCUUCUUUAUCACCCAAAACCCUAGCUUUAUUACGCCGCCCAAACUUACCAAACCCUGUUCUGACUUGAAUCCGACCGAUCAUCACAACAUUACAUCCCACCGGUGAUUUCCGCGGUGGUGCAGAAGAAUAGAGGCGGAGGGGAUUUCGAGAACUUGUCAUAAUCCGGAGGGAAGAUCCUGUGCGGGCGGACAAGAUGCACGGAGACGGCGGCUCCAUACCGCUGCUGAUCACCGAUGACGUCGCCAAGAGGAGGCGGACAUCAUCAAGGGAACGUCGACACGACGAGUUCUCCGAUAGAGGAGGCAAAGAGAUGUGUUAGAAGUGAGUGCUUUGAUUUAAUUCAAUUUUUUUUUAAUCUCCACCGAUGUGCUCGAGUUGGAGUGCAGUUUUCCCCCCGCAAAACGCAAUGACCGGCUUGGCCCCUCCGCCGCUAACGUGCCGCUAGAUGUCGCGUGCUGAUUGGCUCGACUAAUUUGCACAUCGGCAACAAGUUCCUGGGUGGCAGGGCGAGCAAUCGCAAGUUGUGUCACCGGCCAGAGUCCAGACAGUUUGUGGGUGUGCAGUGUUGUUACAUCUUUUUUAUGUUUUUUUAGAAUCAUCUUUUUUAUGUGAGAGGCUUUCACAAAUCUCUAAAUAAAUAAAGGACGCGUCUAGUGGGCGGCCGGCUGCCCACUAGCGCGAUCGAGCAGCUGGCCAUAAAAAGCAACUUCCUGUCCCCCACGUGGUACAGAAAAAGCAGGAUCGAGCUGCCACCAAACCGAGUGAUUCCAGCGCCCAAUCCCGAACAAAAAGCGACCCCCCCACGUGGCCAGCUGUCCACAAACUCGCUCGCCCCCACGUCCCAACCCCUCCCACGCCCGCUCGCCCAGGCAAUCCCACGCUGCUUUCUUGACCUGCAGGAAAGAAAGGGAUCCAAAGCUCCUUCUUCCUCCUCCUAUAUAGCCGCCAUGGGAGCAGAAAGAUAGAUGAAUCUGCUUCAACAAAUUGAUCUAAAAUGCAGGGUGAUCAGACCCAUACCAGGCAACAAACAUCAGGCAAGUACUUCCUCUCUAACCCUCUUCAGUUGUCCCCUUUCUUGUACUGCAUCUAUAAAACACCCUCCUCCAUGGAUCCAUCAGCAAAUCCAUGAAGAAUCUGCUUCAAAAAAAGAGUACAUUUGAAACAUCACCUUAUUGUGAACAUCACACCGGCCGCACCCCCCCCCCAUGAGUGCAUCUGCACACUAACUUAGGGUUCCCAGAUCGAAACUGAACGUGUUUUUCUAAACAUGCAUGCUAAGCAAGUUUACCCUGCCCCUUUUAUGUGUUCAACAAGUCAACUAAGACAUAUUUACUGGCCAACAAAUACAUGAUUCUAGCCAACUGAACAUGCAUGCUUGCCAACUAGAUAUAUGCAUCCUGGCCAACUGAAACGUCUAUUCUAGCCAGCUGAACACAUUGACUGUGCAACGGAACAUGCAUGCUGGCCAACUGAUAUAUGCAUCCUAGCCAAUUGAAAUGUCUAUUCUAGCUAGCUAAACACAUUGACUGUGCAACAGAACAUGCAUCCUGGCCAAGCUGAUAUAUGCAUCCUGGCCAACUGAAAUGUCUAUUCUAGCCAGCUAAAUACAUUGGUUGUGCAACAGAACAUGCAUUCUGGCCAAAAUGAUAUAUGGAUCCAUGAAAAUUCAAACAUCUAUUUUAGCCAACUAAACACAUUGGCUGUGCAACUGAACAUGCAUGCUGACCAACUGAUAUAUGCAUCCUAGGAAAAUUGAAACAUCUAUUCUAUCCAACUGAAUACAUGGACUGUGCAACUGAAUAUGCAUGCUGGCCAACUGAUAUAUGCAUCCUGGGAAAUUGAAACAUCUAUUCUAGCAAAAUUGAACACAUUGACUGUCAAACAAAACUUGCAUGCUGGCCAACUGAUAUAUGCAUCCUGGCCAACUCAAAGAUCUAUUCUAGCCAAAACCAAAAAACUGCAGUACGGCAACUUCUGCAGCAAUAUGUGCAACAGAUAAAUAAACAAGGUUAUUGAAGCCAUAAAACCACAUUAAAGUAGUCACACAUAUAUUCUGGUAGCACACCUAUUGCAAAGCUAUAGUGUAAAAAUAUGUUCAAAUAUACUGAAAGUAGAAACAGAAACGGCGACGAAAAACAUAUAUCUAUAGUCUGUCAUCAAAUUCUUCUUUCUUCUUUCACCUGGAUUUUGCAUCUGAAAAAGUAGCAUCAAAUUGUGUCCCUAUUAUGUGCAGCAAAAUUUGAAUAAGCUCCUUGCCAACGGAACCCUGCGGAUCAUUGCAAUAAAAGCAGAGGAAAAAGUCAGAAAACUCUAUGGCAAAAAGAAGUCAAGUUCUUGCCAACUAUUUACUACAAACUGUGCAACUAACAUAACAACUCUGUGCAAAAACAAAAAAUGCAUGCAUGUUAUAAUAAAAGAUUCUGCUACAGACAUGUUGCUUUUGGAACUAAGAUUGUCAUAAAAUGGUGUGCAACUGCCUAUUUACUAAGUUUUUUGGUUGUUUGAAACACUCUUUUCUAUGAUUAACAACUGAUGACAUCACUUUCUUCUUUUUUAUAUGUGCAGUGAGUGUGUGGCAGCAUCCAAAAAAAGGAAAAAAAUGCUUGUUUUCAAUGAGCUUCCUCAUGAUACGGAUCAGCAGCAACCCAGCAUACCACAAGGAAACUGGACAGAAAAUGUACGAUCUGUUUACUACACACAGGCUAGUCAUGGUGGAAACCCUAUGGGCCAUGACAAUGUGGUAGACCAACCAUCAACCCGUGGUGCCCCUGUAGUGGUGUCUUUGCAGUCAGAGAGCCAUACUCUAGAUGACAUGGGAACCGAGGCAAAUGUUCCUCAUCCAACCAGGACUGAGCUAGGAGCUGGGGCUGUUGACGGAGCUGUGCAAGAAGAAGAAGGAGAGGAUGAGGCUGGUUCUCAACGUAUGGAACCCUAUGUUGGCACGAGGUUUGACAGCCUUCAAAUUGCUAAGGAUCACUACAACAGCUACGCACUACGGAUGGAUUUCUCUAUCAAUAUGAACACAUCUAGACGGACACCCCGCACCAAUGAAUUGAUAAAACAACAGUUUUGCUGCAACAAGUUCAAGAAGCCCAAAGCUGAUGAUGGAGGAGCUGAGGCUCCUCCUGUUUUGGACCCUAUUCCAGAUCCAAAAUCUGUUGACAGUGAUGAGGAGAUGAAAGAAGAACCUCCAAUAUUUGCUGAAGAGGAGGCUGGUACUAGUAAGAAGAAGAAGAAGCGCAAACGUGAGACAAUAAAGCAGACUCAGUGCAAAGCAAAAAUGUUGGUGAAGCUGAUAGAUGGGCGAUGAGAGGUGACACACUUUGUUCGUGACCACAAUCAUCCGCUCGUGAACAAACCUUCAUUGUCCAAAUACUUGAGAUCCCACCAAGGCAUCUCACCUGAUGAAAAGGAGUUUCUGCGCAUCUUGUAUAACUGCAACUUGACUACAGGUGUGGUGUUUUUCUAUAUCCCUUAAAGAAUUAAGUUUUCCUCUAGGCAGUCUAGUGUGCAACUUUUAUGGUAGUACUGUGCAACUGAAAUGACUUAACUGUGCAACUGGUGUCCAACUGGUGUGCCACUGAAAUGACUUCACUUUUGGUGCUUGUUGUGCAACUAGAUUGUCUUUACUGUGCAACUAGACGAUGUCAUGUAUGCAAAAAGUGCAAAAGUGUUUUUAAAAAGAUGCAGCUAGGUGUCCAUUUCCUGCGAUUAUCUUUUGUGCCAACACAUUUCCUAUUACUGUGCAGCUGGAUGUGCGCAUUCGUGCAACUAAAAGAAGGAUAUACUAUUUUUUUGUAUUAUGCAGGACGUAUGAUGCAUGUAAUGGCAGAGUUUUAUGGAUCUAAGAUGAUGGUGCCAUUCGGACCAAAGGCAAUAACUAAUAUUUGUACAAGUUUCUGUAAAGAUGACACAAAGGAGGGUGAUCUGAUUGAGACAAUUGCGCACUUCAAGGAUAUUAAAAAACCGAUCCAGACUUCUUCUAUAAGGUGAAAUAUGAUGAAGAGGACAGAGUUGUCAACAUAUUUUGGGUGGAUGGCUUAGCUCGAAAAGCUUAUGCGGAGGCGUACCACGAUUGCAUAUCGUUUGACACCACCUACAUGACCAACAUGUACAAUAUUCCGUUUGCACCCUUCAUAGGAAUAAACUGACAUGGCCAAUCUUUCAUGUUGGGUUGCGCGUUUGUGAGGCAGGAGUUGGCAUCGAGCUUUGAUUGGGUCUUUGGAGCAUUCCUAGAGGCUAUGGAUGGCAAACCUCCUGACAACUUCAUAACCGAUCAGGAUGGUGCAAUGAGGCAGUCAAUACAGAGCAUCUUUCCAAACCACAGUGCACCGCUGUUGUCGAUGGCACAUCAUGAAAAAGGCUCAGGAAAAAGUUAGUUGGCUGCUGUGCCGGAAUCCAGGACUCUCUGAUGAUUUCAACAAGUGUGUUGACUUCAGCUUCACUAUAGACGAGUUUGAGCAGAAUUGGGCUGGGUUAAUGGUGAAGUACGAGGCUAUGACACACACACACACACACUUUGAGAAGUUGUACGAAUACAGGUCAACUUGGAUGUCGUGCUACUUCAAGCACAGGUUCUUCCCGUUCCUACAAUCUACAUAGUGUAAUGAGGGGUUCAACACCGUCCUGAAAAGAUAUGUGAACCCACACAACUCAAUGCUGAACUUCGUCAAGCAAUAUGAAAAAAAUCCAGAACCACAUCCUUGCCAAGGAAGGCUGCAAUGAUUAAAGGACAGAACACCUUGAGAUUGAGCUGUGGUCCAACUUCCCAAUAGAGAAGCAAGUUUACAAAACCUAUACUAGGGACCUUUACCGCAAGUUCAGAGAAGAGUUUGAGCUGAUUGGAUGUUAUAAUGCAUUCCAAGUUGGUGCUGAUAUAGAGCUCAGACCGAACCAGGAAUUUGUUGCCAAAUAUGGUUCUCGAAACUACUUGGUGUAGGCAAGGGUGGAGGAGGGCUCCUAUUUGUGUGAGUGCUGUAAAAUGGACAAAGACGACAUCCUCUAUUGCCACAUCCUCAAGGUGUUCACCCAUAUUGGAGUUGAUGUCAUACCGGAAAGGUACCUGCUAAGACAGUGGACACCUACUGCUAUACCUAGUGCGCCAGGGACUGGUUAUGAGCAACCGGAUGAAAUGCCUCCUCAGUCAAAGAAGCAGAUAAGGGAGAGGAACAUGAUAUACGAUUUUUGGAAACUAGCAAAGUUUGUGAGUGGUUCUGAUCCAGCACAAGCUAUUGUACACAAGCAUAUGCGUGCAACACGUACCGAGAUCGGCCACAUGAACAAGUCCAAGAAAAAGAAAAAACCGACUGCUGCCACGGGGCCAUCAGAUGAUGGCAACCCUCGAGGACCUCCUCCACCUCCACGCAGCAAUCAGGGUGCUCAUUAUCCAGCUAAUUAUCUGCCCCAACUCCUGAUCUAAAUAGGUGUGUAACUUCAGUUGCACACAUCAUUGUGCCUAGUUGCACACAUCAUGGUGGCCAGUUGCAUAGAAACAGGCUGCCUAGUUGCGCAUACUGUGUUAGUUCAAGCAUCGAGAUAACAUAACUAACUUGUUUUUCCUGUUCUGGAUAUAGAUGAUGUCAACCCUCAAGGACAUCCUCCACCUCCUGGCCCUAUAGGUAGCACUCAGGGGCCUCAUCGUCCAGGUAAUUACCUGCCCCAACUCCCAAUCAAACUAGGUCUGUAACUCCAGUUGCACACAUCAUGGUGCUCAGUUGCACAGAAAACAGGCUACCUAGUUGCGCACGUUGUGUUAGUUCGAGCAUCAAAGAUAACACAACUAACUUGUUUGUCCUGUUCUAUCUAUAGGUGAUGCCAACCCUCAAAGACCUCCUCCCCCGCCUGGCCCAACUAGCAGUGCCCUGCGUGCUACUCCCAAUGGACCUACAUGCAGGACUCAGGGGGCUCAUCACCCAGGUAAAAUACCUUCCCCAACUCCCAACAAAACUAGGAUGUGUGACUUCAGUUGCACAUAUCAUUAUGCCAGUGCAACGUCUUGAGCUUGCAUUGGUUUUCCUCGAAGAGGAGAGGGUGAUGCAUCAAUAGUAGCGUAAGUAUUUCCCUCAGUUUUUGAGAACCAAGAUAUCAAUCCAGUAGGAGGCUCCUCAAAAGUCACACGCACGUACACAAACAAACUGAGAACUCGCAACCAACGCGAUAAAGGGGUUGUCAAUCCCUUCACGGCCACUUGCGAAAGUGAGAUCUAAUAAAGAUGGUAAGCUAAGAUAAAUAUGUUUUUGGUAUUUUAUAAUAUGGAUGCAAAAAGUAAAGAUGCAAAUAAAAGUAGAUUGAAAGCAAAUAUGAUAAGAGAUAGUCCCGGGGGCCAUAGGUUUCACUAGAGGCUUCUCUCAAGAUAUCAUAAGUAUUACGGUGGGUGAACAAAUUACUGUCGAGCAAUUGAUAGAAAAGCGCAUAGUUAUGAGAUUAUCUAGGCAUGAUCAUGUAUAUAGGCAUCACGUCCAUAACAAGUAGACCGACUCCUGCCUGCAUCUACUAUUAUUACUCCACACAUCGACUGACUCCUGCCUGCAUCUAGAGUAUUAAGUUCAUAAGAACAGAGUAACACAUUAAGCAAGAUGACAUGAUGCAGAGAGAUAAACUCAUGCAAUAUGAUAUAAACCCCAUCUUGUUAUCCUUGAUGGCAACAAUACAAUACGUGCCUUGCAACUCUUUCUGUCACUGGGUAAGGACACCGCAAGAUUGAACCCAAAGCUAAGCACUUCUCCCAUGGCAAGAAAGACCAAUCUAGUAGGCCAAACCAAACUGAUAAUUCGAAGAGACUUGCAAAGAUAACUCAACCAUACAUAAAAGAAUUCAGAGAAGAUUCAAAUAUUAUUCAUAGAUAAACUUGAUCAUAAACCCACAAUUCAUCGGAUCUCGACAAACACACCGCAAAAAGAGUUUACAUCGAAUAGAUCUCCACAAGAGAGGGGGAGAACAUUGUAUUGAGAUCCAAAAAGAGAGAAGAAGCCAUCUAGCUAAUAACUAUGGACCCGUAGGUCUGUGGUAAACUACUCACAACUCAUCGGAGGGGCAAGGAUGUUGAUGUAGAGGCCCUCCGCGGUCGAUUCCCCCCCCGGCAGAGUGCCGACGAAGGCUCCAAGAUGGGAUCUCGCGGAUAUAGAAGGUUACGGUGGUGGAAAUUGUGUUUCAUGGUGCCCCUGGAUGUUUUCGGGGUACGUAGGUAUAUAUAGGAGGAAGAAGUACAUCGGUGGCCGCCCGAGGGGCCCACGAGACAGGGGGCGCACCCUAGAGGGGGGGGGGCUCCUAUCUCGUGGAGCCCUCAGCUGCUUCUUGACUUGCAUUCCAAGCUCUCCGGAUCACGUUCGUUCCAAAAAUCACGCUCCCGAAGGUUUCAUUCCGUUUGGACUCCGUUUGAUAUUCCUUUUCUUCGAAAUAUUGAAAUAGGCAGAAAAAACAGCAAUACGGGCCGGGCCUCCGGUUAGUAGGUUAGUCCCAAAAAUGAUAUAAAUGUGUAAAAUAAAGCCCAUAAACAUCCAAAAGAGGUAAUAUAAUAGCAUGGAACAAUCAAAAAUUAUAGAUACGUUGGAGACGUAUCAAGCAUCCCCAAGCUUAAUUCCUGCCCGUCCUCGAGUAGGUAAAUGUAAAUAAGAAAUUUUUGAUGUGGAAUGCUACCUAGCAUAAUUCUCAAUGUAAUUUUCUUUAUUGUGGCAUGAAUGUUCAGAUCCAAAUGAUUCAAAAUAAAAGCUUAUAAAACAUAAAAAUAAUAAUGCUUCAAAGCAUACUAACAAAAAAUCAUGUCCUAUCAAAAUAACAUAGCCAAAGAAAGCUUAUCCCUACAAAAUCAUAUAGUUAGGCCAUGCUUCAUUUUCAUUACACAAAAUACUCCCAUCAUGCACAACCUCGAUGACGAGCCGAGCAAUUGUUUCAUACUUUUUAACGCGCUUCAACUUUUUCAACUCUUACGCAAUACAUGAGCGUAAUCCAUGGACAUAACACUAUAGUGGUAUAUGGUGGUGGUUGUGAGGACAAAAAGAGGGAGAAGAUAAUCUCACAUCAACUAGGCGUACUAACGGGCUAUAUAGAGGUGCCCAUUAAUAGAUAUCAAUGUGAGUGAGUAGGGAUUGCCAUGCAACGAAUGCAGUAGAGCUAUAAAUAUAUGAAAGCUGAAAAAAGAAACUAAGUGGGUGUGCAUCCAACUUGCUUGCUCAUGAAGACCUAGGGCAUUUUGAGGAAGCCCAUUGUUGGAAUAUACAAGCCAAGUUCUAUAAUGAAAAAUUCCCACUAAGUAUACGAAAGUGACAACAUAGGAGACUCUCUAUCAUGAAGAUCAUGGUGCUACUUUGAAGCACAAGUGUGGAAAAAGAGAUAGUAGCAUUGUCCUUUCUCUCUUUUUAUCUCAUUUUAUUAUUUUUUCUUUUCUCUUUUUUUCUUUGGCCUUUUUUUUUCUUUUUGGCCUUUCUCAUUUUUUUUCUUUUUUUUAUUUCUCUUUUUUUUCUUUUUGUAAAGUCCGAAGUCUCAUCCCUACUUGUGCGGGAAUCAUAGCCUUCAUCAUCCUUACCUCACUAGGACAAUGCUCUAAUAAUUAAGAUCAUCACACUUCUAUGGAUUUACAACUCAAGAAUUACAACUCAAAGCUAGAACAAGAUCUGACUCUAUAUGAAUGCCUCCGGCGCUGUACCGGGAUAUGCAAUGAAUCAAGAGCGACAUGUAUGAAAAUUAUGAAGGUGGCCUUGCCACAAAUACGAUGUCAACUACAUGAUCAUGCAAAGAGCAAUAUGACAAUGAUGGAACGUGUCAUAAUAAAUGGAAUGGUGGAAAGUUGCAUGGCAAUAUAUCUCGGAAUGGCUAUGGAAAUGCCAUAAUAGGUAGGUAUGGUGGCUGUUUUGAGGAAGGUAAAUAAGGGGUUUAUGAUACCGACAAAAGUUGCGCGGUAAUAAUAAAGGCUAGCAACGUAAAAGGAUGAGUGUGCAUAUGUCCAUGGACUCACAUUAGUCAAAAGAGAACUCAUAUACUUAUUGAAAAAGCCUACUUAGCCCUCGAAGCAAAGUACUACUACGCAUGACCCAAGAGGGAUAGAUUGGUAGGAAAAGACCAUCGCUCGUCCCCGACUGCCACUCAUAAGGAAGACACUCAAAAGAGCACCUCAUCCAACAAAUUUGUCACACAACUUUUACCAUACGUGCAUGCUACGGGACUUGCCAACUUCGACAAAAGUAUUUCUCAAUUUCAUAAUUACCCACUAGCAUGACCCUAACAUUACUACCUUUAUAUCUCAAAACAACUAUCAAGCAUCAAGUUGAUCAUAGCAUCCAAUUCUUAUUCUAUGAUAGUUUUUAUUAUACCCAACUUGGAUGCUCAUCAUUCUAAGACCAACUUUGUAACCAUAGCAAAUACCAUGUUGUUCUAAAAAACUCUCAAAAAUAUAUAAGUGAAGCAUGAGAGACUAGAAAUUUCUUCAAAAUCAGGACACCACCAUGCUCUAAAAGAUAUAAGUGAAGCACUAGAGCAAAAACUAUCAAGCUCAAAAGAUAUAAGUGAAGCACAUAGAGUAUUCUAGCAAAUUCUAAUCAAAUAAGCUUCUCCCAAAAGGUGUGUACAGCAAGGAUGAUUGUGGUAAACUAAAAAGCAAAGACUAAUAUAAUACACGAUGCUCCAAGCAAAACACAUAUCAUGUGGCGAAUAAAAAUAUAGCUCCAAGUAAAGUUACCAAUGAACGAAGACGAAAGAGGGGAUGCCUUCCUGGGGCAUCCCCAAGCUUAGGAUUUUGGCUAUUCUUGAAUAUCUUGGGGUGCCUUGGGCAUACCCAAGCUUAGGCUCUUGCCACUCCUUAUUCCAUAGUCCAUAAAAACUUUACCCAAAACUUGAAAACUUCACAACACAAAACUCAACAGGAAAUCUUAUAAACUCCGUUAGUGAAAGAAAACAAAACCACUACAUAAGGUACUGCAAUGAACUCAUUAUUUAUUUAUUUUGGUGUUAAACCUACUGUAUUCGAACUUCCUUAUGGUUUAUAAACUAAUUUACUAACCAUAGAUGCAUUGAAAUAAGCAAACAACACACGAAAAACAGAAUCUGUCAAAAACAGAACAGUCUGUAGCAAUCUGUAACUAACGCAAAUUGCUGGAACUCUAAAAAUCCUACCAAAAUAGGAAGUCCUGGACAAUUUGUUUAUUGAAAAGCAGAAAAAAGAAUCAACGCAAAAUCACGUUCCUGUGAUUUAACAAAAUUAUAUUCGUGCCCGCAAAGUUUCUGUUUUUCAGCAGAAUCAAAUCAACUAUCAUCGUAGGUUAUCCUAUAGGUUCUACUUGGCACAAACACUAAUUAAAAGAUAAAACACAUCUAAACAGAAGGUAGAUGCAAGAUUUAUUACUAAACAGGAGCAAAAACAAAGAACAUAAAGAAAAUUGGGUUGCCUCCCAACUAGCGCUAUCGUUUAACGCCCCUAGCUAGGCAUAAAAACAAAGAUAGAUCUAAGUAGUGCCAUAUUUGGCACUAGAUUCGUAAGUAGCACGCAUGAUAGAUUCAUAAGGUAAUUUGACUUUAUUUCUUGGAAAGUGCUCCAUGCCUUUCUUUAAUGGAAAUUGGAAUCUAAUAUUCCCUUCCUUCAUAUCAAUAAUCGCACCAAUCGUUCUAAGAAAAGGUCUACCAAGAAUAAUAGGGCAAGAAAGAUUGCAAUCUAUAUCAAGAACGAUAAAAUCUACGGACACCAAAUUUCUAUUUGCAACAAUAAGAACAUCAUUGAUCCUUCCCAUAGGCCUUUUAAUGGUGGAAUCCGCAAGGUGCAGAUUUAAAGAGCAAUAAUCAAGAUCAUGGAAACCUAGAAUAUCACAUAAAGUUUCGGAAUCGUGGAAACACUAGCACCCAAAUCACACAAAGCAAAACACUCACAAUCUUUAAUUCUAAUCUUUAUAGUAGGUUCCCACUCAUCAUUAAGUUUUCUAGAUAUAGAAACUUCCAAAAUUAAGUUUUUCAUCAUAAGAUUGCAUCAAGGCAUCAACGAUAUGUUUGGUAAAAGUUUUAUUUUGACUAUAAGCAUGAGGAGAAUUAACAAUGGAUUGCAACAAGAAAAUACAACCUUUUAAAGAGCAAUUAUAAUAAUCAAAUUCCUUGAAAUCCGAGAUAGUAGAUUCAAUAUUAUUAGAAGUUGAGGAUUCUCCAAUCUCACUUUUACCAAAUUUAGCAAUAAGAUCUAAAGAUUCCGAAUUCUUGGGACGCCUUCUAGGCAAAGUUGAUUCAUCAUCAGUCCCAUUAUCAUCAAAAUUCAUAUUGCAAAAUAUAGAUCUAAUAGGAGACACAUCAAUAACUUUAAGAUCCUCAUCAUUAUUUUCACCUAACUUUUCUGGUUCAGCGGCCAUCUUAUUGACUAAGGUGGCUUGCUUAUCAGAAAUUUUGGCUAUAGUAUUUUCAAGACGGGUAAUUUGAGCAUUAACACCAUAAAAUUCUUCAUUCAUAUCAUCAAGCUCUUUGUUCCUAAACCCCAAAAAACCUUUUUGUUCCUUAAGCUCUUUUCUAAAGAAGUUAUUAUGCUAAAAUUGCAAAUUCAUAAAGCUUCUAAUAUUUGAUUCAAUCUCUUCCAUCCUUCUGAGAAGGUGGUCAUGACCCUUAGGCGAAGCCAUAAGGACAAACAGGCACACAAGCAAACAGAGAAGGGCAAGCGAAAGAGAGGAGGAGAUUGCGAAAGAGAGGGCGAAUAAAACGGCAAGGGUGAAGUGGGGGAGAGGAAAACAAGAGGCAAAUGGUAAAUAAUGUAAAUGCGAGGGAGAUGGGUUUGUGAUGGGUACUUGGUAUGUCUUGACUUGAGCGAAGACCUCCCCGGCAACGGCGCCAGAAAUCCUUCUUGCUACGUCUUGAGCUUGCGCUGGUUUUCCUCGAAGAGGAGAGGGUGAUACAUCAAUAGUAGCGUAAGUAUUUCCCUCAGUUUUUGAGAAACAAGGUAUCAAUCCAGUAGCUGGCUCCUCAAAAGUCCCACGCACCUACACAAACAAACUGAGAACUCGCAACCAACGCGAUAAAGGGGUUGUCAAUCCCUUCACGGCCACUUGCGAAAGUGAGAUCUAAUAAAGAUGGUAAGAUAAGAUAAAUAUAUUUUUGGUAUUUUAUAAUAUGGAUGCAAAAAGUAAAGAUGCAAAUAAACAUAGAAUGAAAGCAAAUAUGAUAAGAGAUAGACCCGGGGGCCAUUGGUUUCACUAGAGGCUUCUCUCAAGAUAGCAUAAGUAUUACCGUGGGUGAACAAAUUACUGUCGAGCAAUUGAUAGAAAAGUGCAUAGUUAUGAGAUUAUCUAGGCAUGAUCAUGUAUAUAGGCAUCACGUCCAUAACAAGUAGACCGACUCCUGCCUGCAUCUACUACUAUUACUCCACACAUCGACCGACUCCUGCCUGCAUCUAGAGUAUUAAGUUCAUAAGAUCAGAGUAACGCAUUAAGCAAGAUGACAUGAUGUAGAGGGAUAAACUCAUGCACUAUGAUAUAAACCCCAUCUUAUUAUCCUCGAUGGCAACAAUACAAUACGUGCCUUGCAACCCUUUCUGUCACUGGGUAAGGACACCGCAAGAUUGAACCCAAAGCUAAGCACUUCUCCCAUGGCAAGAAAGACCAAUCUAGUAGGCCAAACCAAACUGAUAAUUCGAAGAGACUUGCAAAGAUAACUCAACCAUACAUAAAAGAAUUCAGAGAAGAUUCAAAUAUUAUUCAUAGAUAAACUUGAUCAUAAACCCACAAUUCAUCAGAUCUCAACAAACACACCGCAAAAAGAGUUUACAUCGAAUAGAUCUCCACAAGAGAGGGGGAGAACAUUGUAUUGAAAUCCAAAAAGAGAGAAGAAGCCAUCUAGCUAAUAACUAUGGACCCGUAGGUCUGUGGUAAACUACUCACAACUCAUCGGAGGGGCAAGGAUGUUGAUGUACAGGCCCUCCAUGGUCGAUUCCCCCUCCAACAGAGUGCCCGGCGAAGGCUCCAAGAUGGGAUCUCGCGGAUACAGAAGAUUACGGUGGUGGAAAUUGUGUUUCGUGGCGCCCCUGGAUGUUUUCGGGGUACAUAGGUAUAUAUAGGAGGAAGAAGUACGUUGGUGGCCGCCCGAGGGGCCUACGAGACAGGGGGCAUGCCCUACAGGGGGGCGCAGCCUCCUAUCUCGUGGAGCCCUCGACUGCUUCUUGACUUGCACUCCAAUCUCUCCGGAUCACGUUCGUUCCAAAAAUCACGCUCCCGAAGGUUUCAUUCCGUUUGAACUCCGUUUGAUAUUCCUUCUCUUCGAAAUACUGAAAUAUGCAAAAAAAACAGCAAUACAGGCUGGGCCUCCGGUUAGUAGGUUAGUCUCAAAAAUGAUAUAAAUGUGUAAAAUAAAGCCCAUAAACAUCCAAAAGAGGUAAUAUAAUAGCAUGGAACAAUCAAAAAUUAUAUAUACGUUGGAGACGUAUCACCCAGUUGCACAGAACAUGCUGCCUAGUUGCGUGCGCUGUGUUAGUUUGAGGAUCAAGCUAAAAAUCUAACUUGUUUUUCCUGUUCUACCCAUAGGCAAUUACAAUCCAAGUACCAUGACGGGACGUGCUACUCCAAGUGUUUUUUCAACUUAACCUGCACACAUCAACCAGUUAGGUGCACAGCAUGGGCUGCGUGGUUGCAGAGAACAUUAGUGCUGGUUGCACAACAAAAAAAGUACUAAAUUUUUUAUAUGAUUAUUACACAGGUGAUCGUGAUGGUCCUACUGCCCCGUUGGAGGAUGCAUCCCCUGCACAAGCUUCUGAUGACUUUGUGCCCAGGGAUCCUCCAAGGUCUACUACAAAGGGUAGGGCAAAAAGUUGACGGUACAAAUCGGCGCUGGAGCUACACCCAAAGAAGAAAAACAAAUGCAACCAAUGCCAAUCUACAGAGCACACUGCUGGUGUGUGUGUCCACUCAGGCUACUGUGAUUCUGUUUCACCAUUUGUAACUUUGAGACAAAAAAGGAAAAGAAUGAUGUUUUUUAGCAAUGCUGGGACCAAGUAGACACAUUCAGCAUCUAUGAUUUCUCUUUAUCUAAUUUAUGCUCCUUGAAUUAUUUCAUGCACUGUGUAAAAAAUGUUGCUAUUUGUACCUUUGUUGGCAACUGGUUAAAUAUUUAGUUGUUGAACAAUUGUAUGUCAAGUGCUCCUAAUAUAUCAACAAAAGUGAUGAUAUUGACUUGCAAACGGAAUUGCUACUAGUGUGCAACUACAAAAUCUGCUUAAAAAUUGUGCAAACCAGCAACUACCUCCAUGGAGCAGAGAAAGAAAAAGAGUACUGACCUAGUCCUUGUCGUAUCUCAGCAACUUCCUCCAUGGGGCGGUGUUGUGCACGCUGGUGACCCAGUCAUAUGCCAUCUUCUUCCUGAUGUUGAGUACUUCCUUGGGUUCGUAGUUGGGCAGUUGGCUAUCGUUCCACUCGGUGGCGUUAAGCAGUGCGAACAACCCACACUCAUUACUGCGAUGGGCAAGAAAAGAAAAUUUGUCACAUAAAAUUAAAACCAAAUAAAGAUAAUGCACUCUGUGCAACUGCUUAUGUUCUACUGUGCAACUGUUUAUGUUCUACUGUGCAACUACUUAUGUUCUACUGUGCAACUUCUUAUGUGCCACUAUGCAACUGCUUAUGUGCCACUCUGCAACUGGCUAGAUAAUCCAUUAGAAACUCAUAAAAAUGAUAAACAGAUUGCAGACUAGUACUGUGUCUUAAAAAACUAAAGAUUGCACAUGUAGAAAAAUUUAAAAACUACAAAAUGAUGGUAAGAAAUUGAGAAGAGAGCCAUGCUUAUUGUCUUACUUGCCGAGCUGCUUCGGUACGUCAAUGUAAAUAAUCUGAAAGUGCUCGAUGCUGAAAUUUGGGUAAUGCUUCCUCCAUAGCUGGCGUACUGCCCCCGCGAUGGUAGAGGCGGUGGUCAUCAGCUCAAUGUCAUCUAGCGUCCUGCUUGAAUCAAGAACUUCGAAGCGUCCGUCCCUCAAGUUGACAUUGAAGACCCAAUAAUGCCUCCCUCCCUCCUUAUCGGUUACAUCAGUGCACUCGAGCACUGGCAGCAUGACCUGCAAGUGUGAACGAUUUCAGACAUAGAUACAGGCUGUAGCUAAGAAAAAACAGUAAAAGACUUGGUCAAGUUAAAACAUGUUGCAACAAGUAUGUGCCAACUAACAGAUGUGCCAUGUGCAACUGAACAUGCUGUGGGUGUCAACAAAAAGAGAUGGAUCAUGUGGGCACAACACUCACCAAGUCCUUCUUGUCGAGACGGUUCUUGUAAUCAAACUUCUUGUUUAUCUCUUUCACGUUGUGGAUACCUUGCUGUAAAUUCAUCUGCAGAGAUUAUAAAGCAUGGCUCAAACUCCUUAGUAGAUGAAAGGCCUCCCUCAAUUGGUCAACAAAAAAGUGCUACAGAACAAAGAUGAGGGUAAGGAAGGUUUUGGAAAAACUUACCGAAAAACUCAGUGGCAUAACAACCUUCUUUGACCCUUCUAGUAAGCUCUCCAUGAUGUGUAAGAUUCCAGUCUCAAUAACAAUUUUUGACAGCCAUUGAACCGGCUUCAUCGAAUCAACUAACUCCUUUAAAGAAAUGUAGAAAUCACCAUACCUGAUUAUCUCAGGGCUGAAUUUUUUUUGAAAGCAAUAAAAAGACAAGUUAGCUCGAAGGGUCAUAGUAGCAAAAAAAAUGUGCAUGAAAUUGAAAAACAGAACAGUGUGCAACUAAAAGCCCUGUUCUGUGCAACAUGCUAUGCUUUCUGUGCAACUAAGUGGCUGGUCUUGUGCAACUGAAAAAGAUAUGUAUGUAGGCUGUGGGGAGUUAGUUUACCUGGUAGCUUCAUCAUUUGCUCCUUCAUGAUGCCUGGCCCAACACAAGAGGGCAGCGUAAAGCUUGUUCACUGCCUCAUUGGAGCUGAAAGACUUCUUCUUGUUGUAGUCAAUGAAUGGAGACCUUUGAGAUGCCGCGAGCCUUAUUACCGUCCUCUGUCUUCAUGCAAUAGGUGGUCCUGAAGAACAGCUCGUGUCAGCUUCUGGUUCUGCGCAUAUCGGGGUGUGGCAAUUCUCUGGUGAUCCAACAUCUAGCUCUUGAGCUAUUGCCUUGCCAGCAUCAGCAGCAGCGCAUCCUUCAUUCACAGCUGCUGGGUCCAACUCACACUCAUCAAUACUAAUCACACCGGCUUCCGCUGUUUCUGCUGCUGGAGCAGGUGCUGGAGCAUGACCAUCUAUGCCGAGGUCAAAAGAUGGUGCAUCACAGAACCCGUCACCAUGAUAAGACUUUAAUCUUCGUAUGGGUUCAAGGACUAGGGCAUCUCCUUGCGGCACAAACAUGGGUGCAUCAUUCACUGACUUGGUUCGUGAUAGUGUUGUAGUUGGCAGCCUUGGAGGCUUGCACCUACUUAUAAUCUUGAACACCUCCUCUUGUGUUAAUGGUUGCUGAAAGUCAGCUCUUGGUGAUGCAGGCUUGCUUGGCUGUUGUGUGCUGGCUCUUGGGGACGGCAAUUUGGUAGUAGGAUCACCUCCUUUUGUGUUUGGCAUUGAAGCAUCUCUAUGAGUAGGCACUUUGGGGCUUGCAGUUGCAGUGGUGCCUUCCUGAGCAGAUGUGGUGGUUUUGACUAUGACCACGCUGCUAACUGACACAUCAGUUGGCACACUGGUAUCUGUAGUUGGCAUCUUUCCAGUCUGAGUUGGCAGCAACCUAGCAGAACUUGGCACCCCUGCAUCAAUGGUUGCAGCUCGCAGUUCUCUCUCGUCUCUGAACCCCAAAUCUUUUGUGGCCUGUUCCCCCUUUGUGCCGCUGGCAAACUUGACAAUCUUUUGUUGCUUAGGUGGUUUUGGUGGGACUGUUGAAAGGGGAGUCUUCCCCUUGAUCUGUUGAACUCCUGUUAUGGUGGUUGGCUCUCUGCUCACUACAGUUGGCAUAUCAGUUUGAAGCACAGCUUUCUUGACCAUAUUUACUUCAGCAUCUGCACUCACCAUCUUCUCCUUGGUUUGAGGCAAAUGUAGAUUCUUCUUCAUUGAAACUUCUUUACGCUUCUGGACCACGUGAGGGUUUGCCAUGGAUGCUACCUUGCUCUUGCCGGAGCUUAGGUCUCGAAGCUGCUUCAAAUAUUCCUUGUAUUUUUCCUUUGAAUGAACCCAGUCAAGACCCUUUCCUGCUUUCUCCAUGUCAAUUUGAUUCUUUUCAGCAACACUUGAUAAGAACGGGCUCUUGUCAAUGGCAACGUUGAUCUUCUCACACAUAUCUUGGUCGCUAAAAUAUGGCACAGGAAAGGUGGUUGGCAAAGCUGGCUUCAAGUUGCAGAGCUUGAACAUAUCAAUGCUGCACUGGGACUCUGCUUCGUCAUUUUUCUUUGACUUCGGCAAAUCCUUGUCUUCCAGCAAGUUUUGUCAAUUAGCAUCUGUAGUGUGCUCCUGCUACUCAGUGAAUUGCUGCUGCUGGCAGGAGUGGCAGAAGUGCUAGUCCUACUGGAUGUGUUGCCGCCUGUACGACCAGAACCAGGGGCAUUGUCAUCAUCAUCAUCAUCGCUGCUGUCGCUGCCUCCACUGGAUCCCCCUUUAUCAUCACCAUAACCCACCUCGUCUUCUUCUUCAUCAUCUUCUUCCCUCUCACUGCCAUCAACUGCUGCACCUUUGUCCCCGUCCACCUCUUUGGCCUCACCUUCUUCUUCCUCCUCCUCUGCCUCACUAUCUUCUUCCUUGUCCUCCUCCUCUCCUUUGUCCUCUUCUUGUUUGUCCUCCUCCUCCUCCUCCUCCUCCUCUUCCUCCUCCUUCUCCUCCUCUUCCUCCUCCUCUUCCUCCUCCUCCUCUGCAUCUUCUUCAUUGUCAUCCUCAUCCUUGUCCUCAUCCUCUGAUUCAUCCGCAUUUGUGUCGUCGUCAUUGUCAACAUCUAUCGCUGCUUCCAUUUCCUCAUCUUCUUCUGACUCAUCCUCAACAAACUCUUCUUCUUGUUGUAUAAUUGACCCCCGUCUCUUUCUUUUUGGAGCACGGCGUGACGCCCCGGUUUGCAUUGAUGGCUGCUGUACGUAAGGAUCAAUAUCCGGUUCCUCAUCAUCAAUCUUGGCAACUGCUUCAAUGAAGGUGCCAACCUGUUCAGUUACAGCCUUGCACAGGUCAUUGACCACUUUCGCAAUCUUUGCCUUUUUCUGCAUCAACACAAAAAAAAGAUUCAAUAUUGAUUCAGUUAGAAAAAAUUAAAAAGUAAAAUGUUUGUAACUGACCAUGAUGUGAUAAGCAAAAACCGACUAAUACACACUUUUUGGCCAACUAAAAACAUGAUUCUAGCCAACUACACAUGCACUGUGGCACAAACUAAAAACAUGCAUUCUACCCAGUUGAUGUCAAUGGUUGUAAACGAACACUUUGACUGUCAAAAAGAACAUGUGCAACUAUAGAAGCUUAUAUGUGCAACUGAACAUACAUCACAACCAACUGAAUCCUUUAUUCUCGCAACUACAAAAGUUAUACAUGUCCAACUGAACAUACAUCCCAGCCAAAAGAAAAUGUUGGUAAGUGGUACAAAUUUAUGUAUGCAAAACACUAACCUGCGGAUUGUAGGUUAUUGGUAACUUGGAUGCCACGAAUGCUUCAGCUUGCAAAAUUCCACCAAACAGUGGUGUCUGCUCCGUGCCUCUAUACUCCUCUUUAAGCUGAUGUAAAAAAACAGAAAAAGAAAAGAACAAGGUUAUCAAAACAAAUUUUUGUGUUAAACAAAACCAAACAUUAUAACCUGUGCAACUACAACAAGAUACUAUGGUAGACAAUUCGACUAUACAUAUAUGCAACUGAACAAAGAUACAAAAACUGUGCAACCCACAUGGCACCUAAAUUUUUUUUCUACCAACUGAUGCCACACAUCUAUGCAACAAGAUUAGUAAAACUGUGCAACUUAAAAAAGAUGGUGUGCCAAUUUAAAAUGAACAUGUGUGCAGAUGCCAAACUUAAAGCUACAAGCUGUGCAACUACAUGAAUUGUUGUGCCAACUGAUGACAGUUUUUGUGCAAUUUCCAAAAAAGUGACUAGACAUCAAAAGAACAUAAAAAAAGAGACUGUUGGAAAAAAACAAAGAGAACUCACUUGUAAUUUGCCGAACACACCAGGAGAGACGGUAUCAUUCUUCAUCACCUUGGCAAUUAGAGUACCAUCCCAUGCAUUCGGUCGCAUCGCGCAGUUGCUUACUGGGAUGUCAUGGACAAGCGCAUCAAGGUAUAGUAUCUUCACCAGACCCAACAAAAGAAAAGCCAAGUUCAGUUAUUAUUAUGAGUAUUUCAGCAAACUAUAACUGCACAAAAAGAAAAAGAACAGAUGGAAGUGGUCGUUUUCACUAACCAUCAAGUGAUACAAGCAGCAGCAAACAGUUUGCUUCUCCUGGUCCAUGUUCCGGAAAGCUUCGUUAAUGUGUUCUGCUACAAAAAGGCAGAUGUUUGUGUUCUUGAGGUUUUCAUGAUCAAGGCCGUGGUUGGUGCUAAGAAAGUGUUGAAGGCAACUACAAGCCAGGCCAUAAAGAAUGUGUCAUCCGUUCUUCCCCCCAUAUCCUUAAUCAUCGUGGUCCAUGUACUGAUCUGGGGAUGAGAAGUUCCAGUUAUGUUGAAGGUCUCUCUGAAUCUCCUAGUUGUUUCCUUGUCAACUUUGUAACAGACUUUUAGACCCCUGUUAGGAAGAUCAAAUACCCUUUGAACACUGUCAGCAUCGACACGGAUCCUUCCCCUUCCUAGGAAAACCAUUUCAGAGGUCUGUGGCUGGUAGGACUGCACCAGGAACUUAGUGAGGUCUGCUGGAAGUGUGUCUGACAAGUUCAAUAGCCCCCCGAACAAACUCUAAACUAGCUCUGACUUCUGUGGUGGGGUUAGAGAGGCGUUGAAAUUUGCAAACCGCGCUGGUGAUGCCCUUAUCCUGCCUGCUUGUGAUGGUCGCUCCACAUCUUCCCCUGCAGCCACCUCAACUCCUUCACCGCUGGCCUGUUAAUGAGAAUAUAAAAACAUUAAGGAAACAUUAAAAACAAGAGAAAAAAUAAGAAUGAAAAAAAAAUCUAACAAUCAUCAUUUGGAUCAGUAUUGGAAAAAGCUAUAUAUUCAUAAAAUGGAUCAUGCCAACUAAUAUGGUGUAUUUGUGCAACUAAUAAAGACCAUGAGGACAACUAAAGACUGCCAGUGUGCAACCUUCAAAAAAAACUAAGAAAAUAUACGAUACCUGGCAACUACAAAAAGUUCUAACGGAUGUGCAACAAUAAGAAAUGAUAUUGCAACAAGAUAACAACAACUAAAAAAAGGUUUGCAAGGAACUGUUCAAUAGCUCAUAAACACACAAAAAAACCACAUACCUCAGCAUCCGUUGCGGAAGAUGCGACAGGUCCUCCAGCAACUGUUGCCUGCACAAAAAAAUGACCAGUGAUGUCAACUAUAAAGAAGCCAACUUGUCAACUACAAGAUGCCAACUAAUGCCAACUAAUGUCAACUGUAUUUAGAUCAAGAUGGCUAGAGAUGUCAACUACAAGGUUGUUAUUGACAAACUAAAAACAAAAAUGGUGGUGAGACCUGCUGCAUAAUUUCAUCAGCGUCUAAAAAGCGAGAAACACUUAUAUUCGAGAAUUUACUUGCCCUAGAAGAUGACUCAACUCCCUUUCCAACUGUUGCACGUCUAGUCCGCUUUACAACACGGAACUGAUCAGCAUCCUAAGAAAAAAUAAAAAACCAAAAAAUGGGCUUGUGUCAUCAGCAUGCCACUUACCUCAACAUCCUCUCCUUGCUCAACACUCCGCGCAAGUCGUGCCUGGCGAUUAGGAGGACGCUUCGACCUCCAGCGAAGCGACUGACUUCCAGAACGCUGAUUAAGCAACCCAAAAAGAAAACAUGAAAAAAGGACAUUAGCAUACAUGCAUAAGUUGAAAACAACUCAAAAACACAGAAAAAGUGAAAAAAAAAGACAUCUUCUUCAUUGCCAUCCGCUUCUCCUCCUAUUAUAACCAUUUUUGCCCUGCAGGAGGAAAUAUAACAAAAGAAAACAUAGUUAGAAGAUGCGGAAACAAACUAGGGAAAUCAUAGAAGGUUGCUUUGAUUUGCAGACAUCUACACAUAAGCAGGACACAAAAAGCAAAAAACCAAAAAACAUGUGGACAACCAACUACUACAAUGAUGUAGCCAACUGGGCAGUAAACCUUGUGCAAACUAGACAACAUAUAAACCAACUAACUAUUUUCUGCCUAGGUCUUACUUGCCAACUGUGACAAGUAAUAACUAGGCAGAAAAUAGUUAACUAAAGGCAACAAGCUCAGUAAGAUAACUUGUGCAAACUGGAACAAGCAAAAAAUGCAAAGCAAAAAAUCCAGCAAAACAAUUGGGCAUACUAUAUUGAAAAAUUAGCAACCAUUCAGUGCUAAUUUGCAAAAAUAAUUGUCCCUAGUUGCACAUGAGGGGAACGCAUGAAAACAACCACAUCCACAACAAAGACUUGCACAUUGAGAAAAAUUAAAUUGGAAAAUUGGCAAGUAUUGGUACUAAUUUGCACAAUCAAGGGGCCCCUAGUUGCACAAAGCAGGAGAAAGCACAUGAACCACCACAGCCACCAUAAUGCUGGUGGAUAGGGUAGACUAUAUUGGAAAACUGGCAAGCAUUGAUGCUAAAUUGCACAGACAAGAGUCCCUAGUUGCACACAGCAGAGGGGGGAAAACAGCAAAGCCAACUAAGUAGAGCAACUAGCACAAAGUGUAUAACAUAUGAACAGUCAACUAGUAAAAGUGAUGCAGCCAACUGAGCAGGCAACUUGUGCAAUUGAAUACCGUAUAGACAACCAACUAGUACAAACAGUGAGCCAACUGACCAAAACAACUGCUGCAACUGCAGAGCAUAUGGACAGCCAGGUACUAUAUGGACGCAGCCAACUGAGCAGAAUUUUGUGCAACUAACCACUUGAAUUACUGAAUCAUGAACUUGCAGGAUCAGGGAAAAUCAGCCAAUGCAUUGCACAUUACAUUGCGCGCAUCUAAUACAACUUGCAGGAUGACUAAGAAUCAUGAACAGAUCUCAAACCUCUGCAAAAUUGAACAGAACAUGAACUAAACAGCCAAAUCGCCCUAAAAUCGCAACGGGCGCCAUGGACAUGCAUCCCUUCUACCUAACGACUACCACGUACCCUGGCCAACUACACGUUGACCCUGGCUAGCCACCCCCGUGCCGUCAAGGGAGUACUAAUUUGCACAAGUGAUGAUAUCUAUUUGCACACGGCAGAAUAAAAAAACACGUGGACCACCACAUCCACCACAAGGCUGGCAGAUUGGGUACACUAUAUUGCAAAAAAUGGCAAGCCUUGGUGCUAAAUUGCAAACAAGGGUUCCUAGUUGCACACAGCAGCGGGAAAACACACGAACCACCAGAUCAAUCACAAAGGAUGGCAGCUUGGCUAGUUAAUGUUGGGAAAUUGGCAAGCAUAGAUACUGAUUUGCACAAAAAAAUGGUCCCUAAUUGCACACAGCAGGGAAAAACACAUGACCCAGGAGAACCACCACAAGGCUGACACAUGGCUAUAUUGUCUCAAAAAUUGUCUACUGCUGCUCCUAUUUUGCACGCAAGGGGCAACACAGUUGCACACCGCGGGGGGAAAACACUCAUCAAAAACACCAGAUCCACCGCGAGGCUACAAUCCACAAACGAACCUCUAUGGCCGCUAACCAAUCAUCCUCCCUGAACCACUCAUCCCGUACGUAUAUACACGAACUCUCCCCCUAUUGCAAUGCAAAAACGACGGGAUGAGCACGACCCUAGCCCAUCCCUGCCAAUCCGGCGGUUUCCCAAACGAAGUAGUCCGCGGGGGUGACCUCAACCUCGCCGGAAAAUGAGUUCGACCUUCCUACCCCCGACCGUGACCUCGAGUUCGACCUUUACCUCGACCUCACCGAAAAAUGUGGGACCUCACCGGAAAAAAGGAGGGGAUGGGGACGAGUACCGGGGAACGCAUGGUAGGAGCAGUACCUGUGCCGCCGCGGACAACGACCCUCGCGGUGCGCCCCGCCGUUGACCACAACCAAUGGCGGAUUUGGAGCCGCCUCCGAGCACCAACCAGCGGCGAGAGCAGGGGGAAAGAGGAGGAAUGGGCGGCGACAGGUGCGGGGUGGACGGGGUAAUGGCACGAAAUUCGAAACCGCCACCCACUACGCACGACGGCUAUCACGCUGGGGAACUGCCUAAUCCUCUAUGACGUGUGGGUCCGUCGGGAAGUUUAUCUCGCGCGGCGCGGCUCGAUCGGACCAGGCGAUCGGUCCACGCGCGGUCCGAGCGGCGCGGCUCCACCACCCGACCAGGGAACACCUGGACAUCGCGCGCCGUCGAUCGGAACGAGAUCGAGCGGCUCUCGUUCGGCCGCUCGUUCUCUCUAGAUAGUGCGCGUGUAUUUUUUAGGUUUUGGGAUAAAUAAACUGUGAGAUGCUUUCACGGUGGGCCUUUGCCCAUCCCGUACUAUUCCACUCCACCGCCGCCAUCCAUCUCUCAUCCCAACCUACCUAUUCCAGCCGCCUCCAAGCUAUGGAGAAGCCAGUGAAGGUGCCGAUGUCCAGGCUCACCGACGACCUAAUCGCGGAGAUCCUCUCUCGGGUGCCCUACAAAUCACUCUGCAUCUGCAAGUGUGUGUGCCCGGCCUGGCGCGACCUCAUCGCCGACCCCGCGCACCGGAAGAAAGUUGUGCAGACCCUGGCCGGCUUUUUCUACCGCAUCACCGGCGAGGUCACGGCCGUCAAGUACGCCGACCUGUCCGCCUUCCCCUGGUCGAGCGUUCCCAAGACCUACCCACGCCUGCCACUGCCAACUGACAACAAUUUCUUCUCUCUUGAGGAUUCCUGCGAUGGAUUGUUUCUUGCCCGCAUUCGGACGGGCACCCCUGCUGGAAAAUUUCGCUACAUGGUCUCCAAUCCGGCCACGAAUGAGUACACUGUGCUGCCUGACUCUGGCUCCGCCGGCAACAUCUGCCUUGCUUACCUGGGUUUCGACAGUGAUGUUUCCACUCAAGAGUUUCAUGUGUUCGAGUUUGUACUGGUCCUCCGUGAGCCAUCCCUGGUUGUGAGGGGAGUGAAUAUUUACUCUUCAAAAACUGUUGCAUGGGUAGCAAUGGAACCCAAAUGGGACAUCCAAGUUACGUUGUGCUGGCGUAAACCAGGAGUUUUCCGUAAGGGGUUUCUGCACUUGCUGAUAGGUCAGUUUGGGUUGGCAAUACUUGAUGCAGAAGGGCUAACAUGGAGAAUUAUCCCGCUUCCAGUUGUAGAAAGUGUUAAUCCGUGUUUCUCCGGAUUCAUUGGAAAGUCUGCCGGACAGCUAAUUUAUAUCGACCGCGGUGCUAUUGAAGGACACGGCUCUAAUGCAUUGUUGACUAUAUCAGUUUACGUUCUUGGUGCUGAGAUAUGUCAGUGGGAUGUGACUCACCUGGAUGACAAGUGCAUGCGUUGGAAACUCUUGCACAAGCUUUCAAAUGUACUCCGAAGAAGAUGUUUCGGCUCUGUUUCAACCUCGAAGUCAUUGCAGUACACCCACAUGCCAAUAUAAUCUUCUUUGUAGCUCAUUGGAAGAAUGAACUGGUUGCAUACGAUCUGGAUCGUCAUGAGAAGCACAAUUGUGUAUCACAUUCACAUUGAGCCUAACUACUGGCAGUUUAUGAAUUUUUUCCCAUAUGUUCCAUCGUUGUCCCGCUUACCACUGGAUGGAGGAAUACAGCUGGCAACUCCAAAUCAAUGAAUGUUCUGCUCAUUAAAAGUUGGGCAGUCAGCGGUGAGGUGCUCCGGUGUGUUCUCAAGAGUAAUCUUCACAGAGAUUCAAAUACAGAUGAUAUUGUUUUGGAAAAUGCUAACUUCAGUUUUCAGUUCAGUUGGAAAAUGCCAACAAGUAGAGCUGCAUGAGAUACCUUAGUUUGUUAUAUUUUGACAUGUACUACUACUACCUUGUAUUUCUAUUAGAAUCUUAUGUUCUGAUAUGAAAAGGCAUAGUCUGAUAUGUGCACAUUCAAUCUGCAUUGGUUGGUUCUAUCUUGGUGUUUGCACUAAGNNNNNNNNNNNNNNNNNNNNNNNNNNNNNNNNNNNNNNNNNNNNNNNNNNNNNNNNNNNNNNNNNNNNNNNNNNNNNNNNNNNNNNNNNNNNNNNNNNNNNNNNNNNNNNNNNNNNNNNNNNNNNNNNNNNNNNNNNNNNNNNNNNNNNNNNNNNNNNNNNNNNNNNNNNNNNNNNNNNNNNNNNNNNNNNNNNNNNNNNNNNNNNNNNNNNNNNNNNNNNNNNNNNNNNNNNNNNNNNNNNNNNNNNNNNNNNNNNNNNNNNNNNNNNNNNNNNNNNNNNNNNNNNNNNNNNNNNNNNNNNNNNNNNNNNNNNNNNNNNNNNNNNNNNUUAUAUUCAUAGAAGUUUGCAUACGUAUGAAGCAUAUAUUGUGAUCACGCUGUCUCAAAAGGCUGAGAAAUGUCAAUGUUGAUGAUCCGUAAUCCUAGCUGGUUUAUAUCUGUCUCACAAAAUGGUCAAAAUCUCCUAAUAGGACUUGGAACCGUUUCUUGCUCCAUUUUUUCUUCUUCUAAUGGCUCCAAAUUCCAUGUCUAGAGUAUGUAGUUACGUUUUCCUGUCCUCUUUCGAUCUUUCAAUUUUGUUGGUCUGUGAUAUGAUUCCACUAUGAGAGGCACUAAUAUCUUCCCCCCUGUAAUUAACUAGUAUGUUCCAGUUCCAUCAGUUUGAGAUGAAAGUGUAUCCCUGAUUUGAAGCUUUUUACUAUUCACCAACCAAUAAACUAAAUAUUUUAGCCCUCACCUAUGGAAUCUUCGUCUAUAUCUGAACCUGACUGUUUUUGCUAGCAGCUUUCAAGAUUCUAUGUGCAAAAUGAAAGGUCCUAGUCCAUCUUUCUUUGGCUAACCAGAGUAGUUGCCUUGUCUCUACCAGUAUCAAAACAGACAGUGUAAUUUGCACUAUGCUGAUCACUCAGAUGUGGAGUAGAAUUAAUCAUUUCAGGGACAUGUUUAGUACAAUGAUAGAAUUAUUUUUUCCCAGUAGAUAAGCAUGUCAAUGUGUAUUCCGCUGAAUAAUGUGAAGCAUAUUGGCUGCUAAACCUUGCAUGCCCUCUAUUCCCUCUAGUAAUUAUCUACGGUUAUAUCCUCACUCGGACAGAAUUUUGUUAGCUCUAUGCUAAUUCUGUAUAAAUAAUGGUUACCAAUAUUCAUGUGAAGUUCUUAAAAGUCUUCUGUUGAGUCAAUUCUUGAGUAACGUAUAUAUACAAAUUUAGAGAAUCAUUACCUGUUCUUCUGUAGCCAUCUCUGCCUUGCUGUGAGGUGGCAAGAGGCAGUUUUCUUUAUGUUGGGUUGUUAUUCUGUUUUGCAGACUCAAAUAAGCAGCGUAUCAGUUACACGAAACCUCAGAUUUGACGCAGACCUCAUUGGUUGGCUGCCAAAGCCGUGGGGUUAGUUUGCUUAGUACACUCACUACAUAGUUUUUAGCUUUCUCUGCUGUGCUUUUCUCGCCUUUUUCUAUACAGAUCAAAUGUCUCAUACCUUAUCUGUUUUUUCUAAUUAUUUGCUAUCGCUGCAGUGCAGCGAUUUUAGACUGAUCUAAGCCCAGAUUAUGCUGUGGAAGACAGAUUCAUCAGAGGUUGCCUGAUCUAAGCCUAAUCUUCUACCCCUUUCAAGCACAGUUAGUGUUCGGAUGCCAGUCGGCGGAUGCAUCGGCCAAGCAUCAAUCAGUUCACUUCCAUCAGCAGGCUACGUUAGCACGGCGACUUCGUCGAGAUUGUUGGAUGGGUACCCACAGACUACGAAGCCCAAGAAACAAUGGGUAAACUCAAAGUCUGUAUAAUGUUGGUGAAAUUUGGGGACAUAAAUAAACUUAAGCAAGGCGAGUCGGCCAGGCAGUGGAUGACUAUCACCCCGCAGCAGCUAAGCAGGAAACGCUGGAUGGACCGCACCAUGCCGCCGUUUCCGUAUAUACAGAUGCAGAGCAAGAUGAAAGCUGCAGCCUCUCGUUCUGGCUACAUCGCAGAUUCAGAGAAAUAUUUGCUGGCUCUUAAUACGACACCUCAUAUUUGGCAAUAGUGACAACUUUAGAAAGACCUGUUGUUGGUGACGACGCUGAAUAGGUGCCAUCUGAUCCACGGCGUUCUUCGUGGCAAACACCGCAGCGCCGGACACGAGUCAGGUUUGAAGACCCUGUGUGCAUGCCUACGAGCUGCAGAUGCUUCAUGUGGCUAGCUGCCAAUAUUAGAUGCUGGACAGCGGAUAUGCUUCGACGCCGUGGGCUUUCAGCGACCAGCUGCCGGAGACGAUGUCACAUUUGCUGCUUGGCUUUGUCGUCGUGCGAGAGGUCUGGCAUUCCGUCCUCCACGAACGGCAGCAUAUGGAGUCGAUGUCUGACCACGACUAUAAGCUGAUUUACAUGGUGAACAACACAGUCAACGCGACGAAGGGAUGCAAGAGACAUGUGGAUAGCCGUCCUGUCUGGCAGUGCGGUGAAUGAUGUGAUCUUCAAUGACGUGGAGGUUUAAGGAGGCAUUGCUGUCUAUACCUACAAGAAGAGAAUGUGGACAUUUUUGUCUUGAGGAACUGGGUUUAGCUUUGACAGAUUUUGCUGUGCAACCGUGCCACUGUUCAACUCUGAGUAUAGUCUGUUGUCUGAACAAGUUAGCAGGAGCAUAGUCGGCACCAGAAGAUUUGGCAAAUAACUUCAGAAAUCUUGAUUGAACAUGGAUAUAUUAUUUCCUGGAAGGUAAGUCUAUAUAUUCAACAAGUUAGUAGCUGCAUGAUUGAUAAAGAGAUGUGGGCAUAUACUAUUGUUAUCCUGAUUCUAAGUUCUAGACAAUAUACUUCAACAGCUGGAGCCAUAUCAUUAUGUACAUAUAGCCACACUUCACACAUGCAAAUCAAGCUGUUUGGUUACUGCUCAGACAAGUCAGUCAAGCUCUUGCUCUACAACUAUGUCCCUGAUGGUAAUCUACAGGAGCUCCUCAGCGAGAACAGGAGCCUGGACUGGGAUUCAGGGUGGACACGGUCCGGGCCGGUCCGGUCCCUGACCGAGCCACCGUUUGGACCGGCCGCCGGCGGUCCGGACCGGACCGGACCGACCAGCCUCGCGGUCCUGGUUUCAAGGACCGGACCGGCGGCACUGAAGCCCGGGCCGGACCGAGCGGACCGGCCAACCACUACCAGCGACGACGUGCACGGGUGCACGGGUGCGCUGGCAAGGUGGGCGACGUGCGCACGACUGUGGCGAGAUGGGCGACAUGCGAUAGCGCGGGCGUCGAAGGGCGACCUGCUAUGGAAAGUGAUCUGGGUGGCGCGGCUGUUAGCCAUUAUUUUCUCUGUACCGUGAUGUUUCUUCCUUUGGCAGUUUUUCUACAGCAUGCAAGCAAUAUAGCACCUGCAUGAGCCCGUGAUUUUCUCUGUGAGGGCCUCGCCGUGAUUAGAGGAUCAAAUUGAACGUGGAGUUGAUCGUCAAAUGGCGCCGUGACUUUCGGAUCAGAUCCUUUUUCUCUCUUACUUUCUAUUUUCUGUUCGACUGAAACGGCAGCACGGGAUUGAUGGCGCGUGAUAAUAGGAAGAGGGCCCUAGUAUUAAAUCUUGGGCCUUCCAAAACAAUACUUUCCUGAUUUAUUGGAUGUGAAAAUCAUGACCGAGUAUUUCCCCCACGAUUCGAAAAUCACGAGAGAGUGUUUCUCCCACGAUUCGACUGGGCUGAAACGGCUGCUAUGGCACUUCGUCUGCACUGCAAAAAGCGUUGCCAUGGCAGGAAUUGCUGCCACGGUUGGGUCGAUGACAUGGUCGAGAACUCGAGAUCGGCGGCAGUUCACGCAUGGCAGCGAUGGCGAGCGGCAGCAAAAGGCUACGUCGCAAGGGUACGAGAGGAAGGAAGAAGAAGGGAAGCUCAUGGACAUGGUGGUUCAUCCAGGGGCUGCCGGUGGCCGCGAUGGCGAGGAACGGUGACUGCGGUGAUCGCGUUUUCUCGGUCCGCUCGGUCGGACCGGUUAAAGACCGGACCGGACCGAGAUUUUUUCGGGCCGAAUAUGGCAGCCCGGACCGCCCCUUUUCGCUAGCGGGCCAGGACCGAGCGGGCCAAGACCGAGCGGGCCACGAGCGGGCCAGAAAGACCGCUCGUUACGUCCACCUCCGACUGGGAUACACGGUACAAGAUCGUGGUCGGGGCAGCACUGAUACUCUACCGGGAUGUCAAGUGCGACAACAUCCCACAUAACCGACAUCAACACACAUACGAAAGUAAGCACGUCGAUAGAAAGUAAAGUCAUACAAGACCGAGCUUGCCCACAUGAAAAAAAAACCGAUGCCAUCGAAACAACGAUUGACAAAAUGCAACAACGACCUAAUUGAACCGGGUGCUUAUCUCCACUGAUCUUGGUUUCUCAGUUGGUUUUGCUGAUCAGGCAUGGUAUUGUUUGGGCAGACUGGGUGAUGAUGUAGAGGGUGGUUAAAGGGAGUGGAUUCGCGAAAGUGCUCUUCUGAUCCCGAGCUUCAUGUGAGCUCGGGUGAACAGUAAAUGGAAAAAAAAUCUGAUUUUUUUGUUCCAAACAUUGGCAAAUGUUUUCAUUGCUUGCAAAAUUUUAUCAUGAAAUGACAUUCUUGAAAUUUGUGUAAAAAAUGAUGCUCCAAAAUACUUUUGAAAAUGAAAUUGCUGCUCAUAACAAAGCUCCAAAUUAGGGAGGUAGAAAAAUAGAUUGCGGUGAGUGUGGAUCGAACACAUGACCUUCAGAUCUUCAGUCUGACGCUCUCCCAACUGAGCUAUCCCUGUUAUAGCCUGUUGUCUAGGUGCAUAGUCUGCACCGGAAGAUUUGGCAAAUGGCAUAGAAAUUCUUAUUGAACAUAGAUAUAUUGUUCUUGGAAGGAAAGUAUAUAUAUUCAACAAGUUAGUACCACCGGUUGCCCCAACACAUGUGCAUCUGUAGCACCAACAGCUGCUCAUCUGUUGUCAUGCCAUCUCGCAACGACUAUAUGCAUCUGUAGUAAUUCUGACAGAAGAAGCAAUACAUUUUUAUCAACAUGAAAUUUGUUUGGUAAAAUCCAUGAGAACUUCAUCAGUAACCAAUUGAUUGAUACCCCACAUAUGACAAGCAAGCGUGUUCCUUUCCAAAAAACUUCAAAAUGGACAUCACUUUUUCAUGAGUUCUUUCGGGAGUAAAGUAAGGUAAGGUCUUUGGUCACCAUUUACCUACCAUUUUAGUUAGUUCUACAUGUACAACUGAUUCAGCAACUCGAAAGGAAUUCUUUAAAAGGAAAUCAGUUAAGCAACUCGAAUGAAUCCAUCAUGCAUUGGUCUCAAAUCCAAGGAAAUAUGAGCAAAACCUCCCAAAUCUAAACAAAGCACCGAACAUCUUUCAGACGGAAAUUAACUCUUUCAGAACCUUUCAAAAGAUGACAUAUCAAGGAUCAAAAUCGACCACAUAGAUUGAUGACCAAGACUUUAUCCAUUAGUCUGGAUGCCUCAUAUGAUGAUAAUUCCAACCAUGGAACCACAGGUGUGGUGAUCCGUGAUAGCCCACGUACUCUUAUUCAUACACAUGCCCUCUGGUAUGAUUUUGCUGCUAGUCCAAUGGCGACGGAAGCUGUGGUGAUGUGCAAUGGAGUGCACAUGCCUCUUGAGAGGGGGUUAUGUAGAGUAAUGAUUUAGAGUGAUGCACAAGCUGUCAUCAAGCUAUGGGAGUCAUGCGGCUUUGAUCGAGAUUGCUGGAGCCUUGCGGAUUGAAGAACUGAGUGUGCAUUUUGAGAGUUCUAUGCCGAGCUUUGUUGGACAAGAUGCUAGUAUGGCAGCUCAUCUAUGUGCUAAACUGGUGGCCAAGUUUAGGAAGAGAUGUUUAUGGCUUAAUUUUACCCCUCUACUCCUAAUGAACAUAUUGCAUUGUGAUUGUAUGCUUGAUUAAGUAAGCAAUAAAGCUCUUCACUCACAAAAAAGGUAGAAAUUGCAAUGCGGCCAUCCCAGCAUAUCAAAACAUUUCUGGUUGUGGCGAUGACCUUUCUUUUCCAUAUGAUCCUACAAAAUGGACUGGGUUUCACUAUCAAGGGAUAACGAAACGACAAAUGCACAAAAACGUCCUGGUGCAAGAACAUAGCCUAAAACUGGUUUCAAUUGCUAACAACAAAAGCUAAUGGAUCCAAAUCUACUGCAAGUUGACUUGGGGUUCACAAUCAUCCCAAGCAAAAUGUUUUCGAUCACUAGCAUCAUCAUUCAGAAAACUCCAUUGCAUCGUUCCUCAUCCAUUCUUUCUCCAUUAGUUCACCUUCACCCACUUCUUGUUCCUCAUUUUCUCCAGCGUUACUCGCCUUGAUCUUCAACACAAGACUUCUUGGCUCCGCGCACCCACCAACAUGAUGUGCCAAUGCUUCUCGCUUCAAAGCAACAACACCUUGUUCCAGAAUCACACACUCUUCAUUAUUUUGUAGAUCUGCCCAAUAAAGCAUAAACAUGCAUGCAUAAUAGACGAAUUCAGCAAGAAAUCUAGUAAUUUUUUUCUCAAAACAAGAUCUAUUACAUAACUCGGAUGGGAAUGUAGUGGCUUAUCGUGAGGGUGAUGCACUCAUGGACUUGUAGUAGAGCUGGUAGCUGCCACGACAGCUUCCCUAUAUGUGGGUGGCCUUGAGGCAGGCGUCGUGGAGGGGCAUCUCUCCUCCAUCUCCUAUUAGGUCACAUCUAUGGAGUCCCUCAGCGUCUACCAUGACGUUGCUAUCAGGUCCCAUGGCUAUGGCUACUUCAAGUUCCACUCACAGAAUGAUGAUGAG